This 85712-nucleotide long non-coding RNA is filed under the name Phaseolus vulgaris (common bean). RNAcentral describes it as "long non-coding RNA (PVUL_LNC002214)". The record is from RNAcentral. Lineage: Eukaryota; Viridiplantae; Streptophyta; Magnoliopsida; Fabales; Fabaceae.
UGUAAUUUUCUUUUAUUUUCAGUUACUUGAAUUUUGUUUAUUUUUUAUUUAUUUUCAAUUGUAUUGUUUUUUGUUUAUUUGCUUAGUUGUUUUAUUUACUGCUUUAAUUUUCUGUUAUCUGCUUAUUUGGUUAUUUUUAUGUUUUGAAUUUCAAUUUUAAUUUAAUUUGUUUUCUAGUUUAUUUUUCUCAAAUAAAAAAAAUAAAAUAUUAAUUUUGUUGUGAAAAAAAAAAUGUGUUUAAAUAUUAAAUAGUGAAAUGAAUUAGACACAUGUUAACCGGACGAUUGAUUAGAACAAAAAAUGACAAAACAAAAAGAAAUGAGACUAAUUAAACUAAGUGAAUGUGUGAUCCUUAAACGUUUGAGAGUUUUACUGAUGAAUUGACAGUCGUGGUUGCUUAAUUUUUAUUUUUUUGUUACAUCAUAAAACAACAUGAAGAUGAUUGAGGCAUUUGUGUUAAUUAGGAACCCAGGGCCAAAUAACCAACCUUUAUCUUAUUAUAAUUAAUUUUUUUCGUAUAUCCCUUUUGAGCAAAGGAUUUUUGUUGUUAUUUCACCUUAACUCUUCAAUGAUAUACUUUCCUAUGUUUAAGGAAGGAGAACAUAGAUACAAUUUACAUAGAAAAAGGAAUGGUUGGUUCUAAUUGUGAAAAUUCAAAAGGUUGAAAAUAGUAAGAAUCUAGUCCUAUUGAUGAAAAAAAAGAGAGACAAAUUCCCAAAGAAAAAAAAAGAGGAAAAUUCUGGCGGAACUUUAUUACAGGGAGAAAUGGUGUUUUCUCUGCCCAUUUGAGUUUGAGUUGUUUUAAAAUUGCACUAUGUUUAAUUUUGAACUGUUUUAGGUUUUGAUGAAAGGUAUGUGGUUUUUUUUAUGCAACACUCCUAAUCAAAAUGCAGCAGCGACUUUGAGAAUGGUCGUAUUUCUUCCUUCAAAGCAUUGGGGAUUUGUCUCCAACAAACAUGGGGAGAUUGUUGAGGAUAGUGAAGAUUCUACUCAACUUUCAUGAAAGAAGUUUUUCAUGAAGAAAAUAUGUUUAAAGGUGUAUAAAAAUUGUAUAUCAUGUUCAACCUCAUAUCUCAUAGCCAUGAUGAUGAUCUUAAGCACAAGGAUCUUUUAAAAGGAGUUUUAAAAAUCUUCUCAUAUUUUACAAAAUUGAUUUUACUUCAAUAAAAUUUUAAUAUCUUGUUUGAUAAAACAAUUGAUUCAUUUGCACUGCACCAAAACUGUUUUGUUCUUUCAAAAUUCUAUUUUUUUUCUCCAAAAUUCAGUUUUGUUCUUUCAAAAUUCUAUUUUGCCUCCAAAAUUCAAUUUUGUUCACAUAUUCAGUUUUUAACUUAUCAAAAUGCCUUUUCAAAAUACAAUAUGUUCUUUCAAGUUUUAACCUAUUGUUUUAUAACAGCUUUUAAAAAUGUUUUGGGCAAACUAUUGUAAUUUGAAUCCUAUAAAAGGAUUGUUAUAUCAUAGUUCAAAUCAUCCGUUGAAAUUAUAAAGUGCUUACACUUUUCAAGUAAUUUUCAUUGAGGUUCUCAUGUAAGCUUAGUUUUUAAAUAAUUCUUGAGUCAGAAACAAUAUGUUUCUUCUAAAAGUAAUCUAUUUUAGUUUUGAAAUUGCUUCCUGAACAAGAAAAUCAAUUUGUUUUUCUUUAAAUAAAUAUGUUCUUUGUCUGUCAGGAGUUCUUAAAUAGUGUAUUUGCGAAAAUUAUCCUAUGGACAAUAAACCCCCUUCUUGAACUUAGACUCCCUUAAUCUCAAUACAAUUAUUCUUCAAUCAUGUUCUCUUAAGCAAAGAACUUCUCACUCAAGCGAAAAAAAAACACUAAAAACUCAUCUCUCUCUCUCUGCCAAUAUCUCGUUCAAGUGAAUCUAUUCUCGCUCGAGCUAAAAGUCCAUUCUUGUUUGAUCUAAAAAAAUAACUUAUUCUUUAAUUCUUUCUUUUAUUUUCUUCUUGUCUUUUCAAUUAUUUGAAUUAUGUAUGAAUAUAUUUUUUUAAUACAAAUUGGAUUGUGAAAUUUAUGAAUAAUAUGGAUUAUAUGAAGAUGAUGGAAUUGUAUGGAAUGGAGAUAUUAAGUAUUCAUCUAUGUUUUAACGGAUAUCCUCUAACUUCAUUGAUGAUCUAAGUCAUGUAGACUAAGAUAUCAGUAGGUGAGAAGUUGAUGAGGAAGUUCAUACACUGUGAUCGCUUGUAGUCACAUUGUACUGGAUGUUUAAAUAUACCCUGAUCAUUUCUCUUAUAUUCACUUGUAAAUCUAAGUCUUGGGUAUUGGAUCAGAUGUUAGUCUAGAGUGUACUUAAUACGAGUUUUCCAAAAGGCAUCUGUUGGAUAUCUUUGAUGUAUGGAUCCAUGUGUGGUCCAUAUGAUUAUUGAUGACGUUAUUGGAAUGAAAUUGGGUUGUGGUGAUUAGUAUUGAAUAUUAUAUGAUUAUGAUUGAUGAAAAAAUUAAAUGGAAUUAUGUAUAUGAAUCAUUAAUAUGAUUGAUUAUUUUUACUUAUAUUUUCAUGUUAGAAUUUUAUUUUGAUAGCUUACCAUUGCGUGUUUUGUUUGUGUAUGAAUUGUUAUGACUAUACUAUGUACAUGAGCAUAUAUAUUUGCAGGUGUACAAGGGACUUUGAGAAAAGAUUGGAGAUCAUUGUUUUCUUUUAUUCCCUUUUUAUUUUACUUUUUGUAUAUUUUAGAGUGCUACAUUUAUGGUAUCAGAGCUGUUCAUCCUAAGGAUGACCCGAUGUUAGUGGGUUUAUUGUGUUUCUUUUGCACGUGAAUUUUUUUUUUUAAGUUUAGUUUAAAGACAUAUGCAAAAUGUUUCUAGUAUUGGAUGUUUAAAAAGUGAUUUUUGAAAUCUUGUUUAUGCUUGACUUAAAUGAUUGUUAUGAAUGAAGAGGAAAGUAUUAAGAAUGAAAAUAAUCUUGAUAAAGUAGUGAGGAUGCACAUUCAUAAUUAAAUGAAGGUUCUGUAUCUUAAUUCUACAAGUUUGAAGUAUAUUUAAAAGAUAUAUUUUUUAUGAUUAGUUAUAUUUUGUAUGUAAUUUUGGUGUUGGACGUAUGCUGAAUUUUAGAGUAAAAUGUUUUUGUUUUAUGUAUUAGUGGUAGAUUUUGAAGUUGUCUUUUAGGCCAAUAACUUUACACAAAUAUUUGUGUUGGUGAAAUAUUUUUGUACACAAGAAGUGUUUCUUAUUAUUAAUGACUCAAAUGCUAAGUAAAUAUUAAUAGAAGGUAAUAUUAAUAAUAUUAUUUUAUUAAUCAUGAUAUUUAUAUUGAUAUUAAUUUUUUUAUUAAUAUUACAAAUAUUUUAAAUAUUUUUAUGAGUGUUACUAAUAUUAUUAUUAAUAGCAUCAUUAAUAUUAUUAUUCAUAUUAAUAAUAUUAAUAAUAUUAUGGUUAAAUUAUUAUUAAUAUUAAUAUUAUUAUUAAUAUUUUUAAUGUUAUUAUUAAAAUGAUUUUCAAUAUUAUUAUAAAAAUUAUUAUUAAUACUAUUAUCAUUAUUAUUAAUAUUAUUAUUGUUCUUGUCGGUUGACCUGGUCGCUGGUUAACUUCAAAGACAAACAGUGACUCCUCUUAUUUCUGGUGGAUCCUGUUUUUAGGUUAACUCACUAUUCCCACCUCUCUCUCACUAGAGCCUUAUCUCUAGUGAAAUUAGGUUUACUCGGAGGACAUUCUAUUACGUUGUUACACAAUCUUAGCAUAACAAUCGCACAAAAUCAUCCUCUUUGGAGUGCACAAUCUUAACAGCAGGGUCGCCAGGGUACCAACUCAUGUACUAGCGCUGCAGGACCCAUCUGUUUUGUAGGUGCCCUAAUCCUUUACGUAUCAUGCAUGCAGCUUGCCCUGAAAACCCUAGUGCUCUUGGGCCUUGGCGUAUUCAGGGAAUGUUUACUUGUGCUAGACCCGAAUGUACUAUACGCACCCCAUGCAUGAACUUUCUCGUUGACUAGGCCUUUCUUAUACACGGGUUUCAACAUACGCAUCUUUGGGGGCCCACUUACGUGGCCCACUAUCACGACCAGACCAUCGAGUCGACCUACUCCUCAGAUGCCAAUGUCCGAUGUCGAUGUUCGAAGUCUGGUCCAGUACAAUUAUUAUAAUUAGUAUUAAUAUUAGUAUUAUAAGUAAUAUUAAUAUUUUUAAUAUUACUAUUAUUAUUAAUGUUAAUAUUAUUAAUAUUUUUAAUAUUCUUCUUAUGGAUAUUAUUAAUAAUAUUAUUAAUACUAUUAUUAAUAUUAUUAGUAUUUAUAUUAAUAUUACUAUUAUUAUUAUUGAAAAAAAUAAAAAUAAUAUUAAUAAUAAUAUGAUUAUUAACAAUAAUACUAAUGAUAAUAAUAAUAAUAAUAAUCAUAUGUGAAUCAAUCUUAGUCAUGGCUAGCUAUGAUUUUGGGCACCCGAGUUCAGAGUCUUACUGAGCUUGGGUCGUUCCAUGUGAAUCUCCAUAUACCUCGACACUCUUAUGCUUGAAAUCUUACCAAGGAAAGGCUGUCUUUCUUGGGAUAAGCCACCUAGACACUUCUCUCAUAUCUUUUGCCUUUAGGACAUCUGACCUGGGUGUCAUUUCACACGCCAUGUCUAUCAUAUUAAUGCCUUUUGCUUGGAGUUUCUGACUUGGGCAUUAACUUACAAUGCCAAGUCUCAUUAUCAACAUCGAGGUAGGUUGGAUUACCUGCCUUCGAAUAAAAAAUCUUAAAUUCACUAGGAAUUAUGGAAAACAGAAGUUCAGAGCACCUGAACUCAAAAUCUUACUGAGACAAAGGUCAUCUUGCCUUAUAGCAAAUACUCAGGGCGCCUGAACUCAAAAUCUUUUACCAAGAUAGAUCGUCUUCCCCGACUUAAGCCAAACGAUGGCGAGUUGCGAUUCAUGGUACCCGAGCUCGAAGUCUUACUGAGCAAGAGGUCAUCGCGCCUUAAUGGCUUUAACUGUAUAUACUCCCUAAAGGGAGGUUUCACCGUGAUUCGCUAUGAACCUUACUGCUCCCCAAAGGGAGAUUUCACUGUGGUUCGUUAUGAACCUAAUUGCUCCCUAAAGGGAGAUUUUACUGUGGUUCGCUAUGAACCUAAUUGCUCCCACUCUUGGGAUCUUACCAAGGGGAGAUUUUGCUUUUACUCUUGGUAUCUUACCAAAGGGAGAGGUCCGCUAGGAACCCUGGUUUUCCCAACCUUGGCGUAUUUACCCAAAUGAGAGGUUCAUUUGGAAUCUUACUGUUUCUCGAAUUUGGCGUAUAAUCCAUGGGAGAGGUUCACUUGGAACCCUACUGUUCCUCGACCUUGGCAUAUAACCCAAGGGAGAGGUUCACUUGGAACCUUACUAUUUCUCGAUCUCGGCGUAUAACCCAAGGGAGAGGUUCACUUGGAACCUCACUGUUUCUCGACCUUGGUCUAUAAAGGCAAGGGAGAGGUACACUUACUGUUCUCGACCUUGGCGUAUAAAGGCAAGGGAGAUGCUUUCCUUGGAACCUUAAUAUUCUUGACCUUGGCGUAUAAAAGCAAGGGAAAGGUUCACUUACUGUUCUCGACCUUGGCGUAUAAAGGCAAGGCAGAUGUCUUACUUGGAACCUUACUAUUCUCGACCUUGGCAUACAAAGGGAGAGGUUCACUUACUCUACAAUAUAUUGCAAACAUAUUUUUCAACUAACUUUUUUAUUGGGUGACCUCAUUAAAAAACCUGAAAUAGAACUUGAGGCUUGUCGCGUUCCCUGCCCGAGGAAUGGCUCCAUCGUCUUGAAUUUCCAGCCGAUGGGUUUCGUCACCCAACACUUCUAUGAACCUGUAUGGUAUAAAAGUUUGGUGUUAUACUGCCAUUUACCGUCGAGCUACGGGAGGACAUAAUCAUUUGUGAUUCUCGACACAUGAGUUCUGGAAAGUUUGUCAAAGUAGAUCUUUGUUGCAUAUUGUAGAUCAUGAACUAGUACACCAGGUAAGUUCCCAGGAAAGAGAGGUGGGUCACCAAUGGACGCGUUUAAAUACCAAGUCUUUCCUCGCCAGAACUUUCCUAGACAUGUACUCUUACACUACUACGCUCUGUAUCCAGCAACAAGAAUAAAUUCUCUCCUGCGAGAGAUCAUGAUCAUGAUAACAAUAUCACAACAGAUUUAAAUGAUUAUUAAUCGUUCACGUCAUCUUCAGAAUAACAUGAUAACAAAUUUAUACAUAUCCGUUUAUUUCCAUAAUAAUAUGAUAACAUAUUUAAUAAUAAUUAUAUCUUCCAUCUUCAGACUAAUAUCACAACAUACUCAAAAGAAAUAAUCAUUAUAUUUGGAAUAACAUCACAACAAAUAAAAUAUCUCUUUACCCUUUAUCCUCAAAAUAAUAUCACAACAGACUUAACAGAUAAUAAUCAUUUAUCUUGGGAAUAACAUUGCAACAAAUAAAUAUAUCUUUAUCUUUUAUCUUCAAAAUAAUAUCACAACAGAUAAAAUAUCUCUUUAUCUUUUAUCUCUAGAAUAAUAUCACAACAAAUAAAAUAUAUCUUUAUCUUUUGUCUCUAGAAUAAUAUCACAAUAUAUAAAAUAAAAAAUAUAAUAUCACAACAGAUAAAAUAUUUCUUUAUCUUUGUUACCUUUUCUGGGCUGACCAACAUUUGAGCCAAGCUCACGACUCACCUCUUGUGUCCAAAUACCGAGAUGACAUCUCCCAAACACUUGGGUCGAGCUGACAAGCUCUCCUGCACGCCCUCCGUCUUACCUGCCACUAGGUAAUCAUUUACUCAUUGAGUGCCUAUACUCGAGUGGUUGUACUGACACCGAGCUAGGUUGACUUAGUUGUGUUGUGCUUAAGCAAAUCAACAAACAAAUCAAUCCCAUAGAGCGCCUAUGCUCGUUCUUAUGUCGAGCUAGGUCGACUUACCAUGUGCCAAUUCAAAUAAAUCAAAAAAGUUAAAUGCCUAAUCUUUCAAGAACAAACUUAUCACACAUCAUUCAAAAAGAAAGCAUUAGACUAGAAUAUCUUAGCUGAAAAUACAACACGAGGUUUGCCACAUUCCACACUCGAGGAAUGGCCUCAACCGGUCAGCCUUGGCUUCUUCGUUUACUAAUUGGAGGACUCUCAUAGUCUCCAUGAUUUGUUGCAAGGUGGGGUCAUUGCUCCCUUCAGAUUCCAGUGGACAUUGCCUCGCGUUUCUCAUCACGUCAAAAAUCUCAAACACAAUUGUGGAUGGGAUCAGGUUUUACUGAGCCCCACGGUGGGCGCCAAAUAUUCUUGUCAGUUGACCUAGUCGUCGGUUGACUUCAAAGGCAAGCGGUGGCCCCUCCUAUUUUUGGUGGAUUAUGUGCUUCCCUUGAAUGUUGGAAGGCGACUCCAUUGAAACAGAGGGGGCCCUACCUGUUGAUUGCACUCCGACGAUCAAGUCAGUUUAGGGCUUAUAGAAACAAUGAGUAAAUAAGCAAGUAGUUUCAGUCUUAGAAACUGUGUACCUUUACUAAAGAUCUCAACUCCCUUUUAUAGGUUGUUUUUAGGUUAACUCACUAUCCCCACCUCUCUCUCACCAGAUCCUUAUCUCUAGUUAAAUUAGUUUUACUCGGAGGACAUUCUGUUACGUUGUUAUACAAUCUUUGCCUAACAACCGCACAAAAUCAUCCUCUUUGGAAUGAACAAACUUAACAGCAAGGUCACCAGGGUACCAACUCAUGUACCAGCACUGUGGGGCCCAUCUGUUCUGUAGGUGCCCUAAUCCUUUACGUAUCAUGCAUGCAGCUUUCCCUGAAAACCCUAGCGCUAUUGGGCAUUGGUGUAUUCAGGGAAUGUUUACUUGCGCUACACCCGAAUGUACUAUACACACCCCAUGCAUGAACUUUCUCGCUGACUAGGCCUUUCUUAUACACGGGUUUCAACAUACGCAUCUCUGGGGACCCACUUACGUGGCCCACUAUGACGACCAGACCACCGAGCCCACCUGCUCCUCAGGUGUCGAUGUCUGAUGCCGAUACCCGAAGUCUGGUUCAGUAUAAUUAUUAUAAUUAGUAUUAAUAGUAGUAUUAUAAGUAAUAUUAAUAUUUUUAAUAUUACUAUUAUGAUUAAUGUUAAUAUUAUUAAUAUUUUUAAUAUUCUUCUUAUGAAUAUUAUUAAUACUAUUAUUAAUAUUAUUAGUAUUUAUAGUAAUAUUACUAUUAUUGUUAUUGAAAAAAAUAAAAAUAAUAUUAAUAAUAAUAUGAUUAUUAAAAAUAAUACUAAUAAUAAUAAUAAUAAUUAUUAUUAUUAUUAUAAUAUGAUCACAAAUUUAUCUUGUGUAAUGGUUCAAAGUUCUUUAUUGACUCAAAAGGAGCAUGAGUUCAAUUCUUUGAUCUUUGAUAGUAGUUUGUUAAUAGCAUUAAUAAUAAUCAUGGUUUUAACUAUGGAUAAAAUUUUAUGAAAAAAUAAAAAUUUGUGAGAAAUUUACCUAUGGAUUUUGAGUCGUCCAUAAUUCAUCAGUAAUGUUUGAUUACCUACGAACUUUUUUUAUAGGUAAAUCUAUUUUUUUUUGUAGUGUAUGAAAAGGUAGCAAGGCGAUGAUCAAGUCUAAGUAAUUAGAUCCCUGAUUUGAAUAUGUAGUUUAAUGUAUUCUCGAGAUAAGAGAAGUAUAUUCUUGAAAGUAAAAGAAGGGAAAUUUAUUUAUAUGUAUGCUGCAUUAGAUUAGGGGAUUUAAUAUUAGAAUCUAAUAAAUGGAAUGAUUGUUUAAAUGUGUGAAAAGUGUUAUUACAUAAUUAGUUAGUAUGUGAAACCAAAAUGUUUGAAUAAAGGUUAUAUGAAAGUAUUGGUUAGUAUAAUAUUUUAUUAUUAAGGUAGUUAGUGGUUUGGAAUGAUUUAAUUAUAAUAUUUGUAUGAUUUUUUAAAAUUAAAUUUUUUGUUUCUAUAUAAUUGUUUCUUUGGAUAAUGAUAUCGCUCACAUGGUGGUGACAUAUUGUUGUAGUAACACCUAAUUAGUGUGUAAAAAUAUAUGUUUAUUAUCAUUUGAAUGACAAAAAGAACAUUGGAACUCAAGUGAUGACUUCUAUUUUGAGUGAAAGAGAUCAAAACAACUAUAUCUCAUUUGGAAUAACUAACGUUCAAGUGAGAACAUGGUUGUUCAAGCAUUAAGUAGGUUUUCCUUAAUUGUACGAAGCAAGGUCACUCAAGCAAGCUUUAACUGUGAUUAUGGUGAUGGUGAUACUUACUAUGUUGUUAAUUAUGUAUGUUGUUGAAUAUGAUUAUUGUGUGAUAUAAAUGUUGUUAUGUUUAUUGAUUAAAAUAUUGAGACUAAUCAUUGGUUAUAUAUAUAUAUAUAUAUAUUAUGGUGUUAUAUAGAUUGUGAUAUUUGUGUGAUAUAUUGGUCUUCAUGAGUAUGAUUCUUUAUGAGCGUGUGGUGGUAAUACUUGAGAAGGUAAUGUGGUCUUAAGGGGUCAUAAUAUUUAGCACAUAACUCAUUAAAGAUAUAAUAAAUCUUAUGCUUCACUAAUGAUAUGAUAAAGUAUAUUAAGACAUCAAAUGCAGAGAAACUUAAAAAAUGUUUUGCAUUAGAUUAUUACAAAGUAGAUGCAUGAACUACCUUGACAUAGGAAGAUGAUGAUGGAUUUCAACCAGGUUUCUGUAAGAAUUGAUGGCUUAAACAAGAGGGGGUGAUUUUUUUUAUGAAAGAUUUUCGCAAAGACUUGAUUUAGAAUGAAUAUUUAUCAAACAAUCCAGAUAAGCAAAUAAGAAAAACAAUCAAACAAUCCAACAGAAACAGUUAUCAGAAUUUUAACCGGUUAAACCUUCGUUUUAAUCGGUUGUUUAUACCAGCAGCAGAAAUGAAAUUAUCAAACAGUUAUGGAGAGUUUGAGAGAAAGAGAGAUUUACACAAAAGGUUUAUACUGGUUCACUGACACAGAGCUACAUCCAGUUCUCAGACAACCUCUAAGUUCCACUAGUAACCAAUACCAGAUUACAAAACACACAAAGAGGUAACCUUGCAACUCACAAGACUCCCUCACUCUCUUUGAAAUACCAAACACCUCAAGAUAGAACAACCUUUGUCUUUAUAGGAUUUCAAACACACAAAACAGUUAAAAAGAAGUAUUAUUAAAAGUAUCUAAACAAGGAUAGAAAACACCUGAAUUUGCACAAUACAGGAAACUCCUAUGAUAAGAACUUGUUACCACAAAAAAGAUUGAACAACAAUCUUGCCCUUUGAAAAAAAAAAUUGAAAACAAAUCAAUUUCUUUGAUCUCAAAUCUGUAUCAAUACUUGUUGUAUUUGAAUUGUUAUUUUGCUUUGAAAGAAAAGUUAUAUUUAUAGCUUUGAAAUGUAGUCGUUUAAGGUAGAUUUAAAUAACUGAAUGAGUUAAAACAAGUUUUCAAAAAAUUGUUAUGAAAACAAACAUUUAACCGGUUGAAACCACGAUUUAACUGAUUGAAUGAGUCAAGCAAUUGCAUAAAUAAUUCAAAAAGCAGUUUUAAAAACCUCAAGCCAGCUAAGUGACAAAAAACUGAUUAUCUCGAUGAUUCAACCGGUUGUUUUCCCUUUGCUUGGAAAAAAACUUUGUUUCUUUUAAAACUGUUUGAUCAAGCUUUGUGUAGGAUUAAGAACUGAUCUUAAAAAAUAUUCUAAACUCCCUAAUCUAAACCCAAACCAAAAAGCAGCACAACUUCAGGCUUCAUGUGGAUUUGAAACAUCAAAGCUCCCAUGUUCAACAAUUUCUAUGGGUUUGGUGUCAGUCUGUAAUGAAAUAUGUUAUAUGUGAGUCUUUCAAUAGGUGAGAGUGUGACGAAUGGCAAUGUUUUAUUGAGAUGUGUGGUUAAGAAUUUCUACAUCUUGAUUCACAAGGAUUUGGUUGUAAUUUGUGGUAUGUGAUGUGUUAUGUGUUGAUAGAAAUGUGGUUGAUAUAUGUAUGUUUUAUGUAUAUCAUGUCAUAGAUUCUUCAUGUUUAAAUUAGAUCACCCUUGCAUGUAUGAUUUUAAAGUUAUAUAAUCAUACAUGAGCAUAUAAUGUUACAGGUAGUAGAAGUGAAGAUAAACAUAGUUAGUUAAAUAUUUUAUUUUCCUAAACUCUAUGUAUAUAUUCUUAUGUGGAACUUGAGGUUUCAUUAUUAUGUAAAUAUAUUACAUAUACAUAGUGAUGCAUGUAUGUUUAGGGAUGAUAAUAAGACGGGUGGGGUGGGGUUUGAUUAUACUUGUCCUUGAAGUGAAAGUUCAUACUCAUCAUCGUACUCAUUAUAGGUAAAAAAAAAUCUAUUUCAUCCCCAUCCCAUUAGGUAAUGAGUAUAAGUGUACUCUCGCCUGUACCCCUUUGUAUUGUCUCAAAUAUUAAUUGCAUUACAUUUUAACAAAAUAAAAACCACAACAAAGACACAUUUUAUUUUCUUCAAUUUCAAAUAUCAAGGAAAAAAUUUGUAGAAAUCUUCUAGUAGAGUAUCAAAUAAAAUUUACAUAGAUUUCAAGUAAUUACAAGAAAAAAUAAAUGAUUACACAUAAUUGAAAUCAUGUGACAACAUCUAUUAUUUUUUGCAUAUAUAUAAAUGGAAAGUUGAUUGAGGAUAAGAGUAACCUUACUAGAUAUCAAAAGAGUCAAACAAUUAAAAAAUAAUAAAAAAUUGUGUCAUUAAAAAAUAUUCUUCAAAUGAAAUGAAACUAAGAAACAAAGAGAAAAUAGAAGAUAAGUAUUUUUAGGUUACUAAUAAACUAAUGAUUUAAACGAUUGAAGAUUCGGAAUUGAAAGUGAAACAUUCUCGCGUGAAAAAAAUAAAUAAAAAAUAAAAUAUUAACAAUGUGUAUAAAAUGAUCAAAUGUAUGUAUUAAAAAUGAUUUAAUUCAAUGAAAUUAAUGUUUGUGUUUCUUGUAAUGCAAUAUAUUAUUUGAAUGAAACCACACAAAGAAAAAACAUGUACAAUAAAGGUUAAUGUGAAAAUAAAAAUACCUUGGAAAACUAAUGAAAUUGGUGGAUAUCAAACAUGUUAAACGAUUGAAAGAAAAUAAAAAAUUUGUGAAACAAGAAAAUAAUUAUACAAAUUAAAUGAAACUAAGAACUAAAGAGAAUUUUUUUUUAAAAUGAUCUAAUAAAUUAAAAAUAUUUUAAUAAUUUGAACAACCUGGCGUACCUUCACCGAGGGUCUCAAGCCCCUUUUAUAGAUAUUCCGCCAACAAUUUUUUCUAUCAAUAAUGUAAUCUCAAAAGAAGAGCAUUUGAUCAUAACAUAAAAAUCACCUGCUAACGGGCACCACUUAUCUUCAGGUGCUAACAGCAGGAAAACAUUUUGCUUUACGAGUGCACCAUUAUUCUCGGAUGCUUACUUUUUUAUUCUCAACAGUUUUUUAAUUAAUAUGUAACUAACACGUAUUGAUAUAUAACUAACAUGCAUAUUAUAACCAAAAAAAAAUAUCUCUUUAUUUUUUAUCUUAAUUACCUUUCUUGAGCCGACCCACCUCUAGAGCCUAAAUGCCAAGCGGACCUCUCCAAAUACCUGUGCCAAGGUCACGAAACCUCUUGUACAAUACAAUACAUAUUCAAAACAAAAAUAAAUAUUUUAUAUUAGAUAAAAAAAAUUAUUAACUGCAUGAUUUCAUGGCAUCAUCAAUUAAUUUAGUUUUCAUUAAAAAAAAAAUUAUCGAUGCAUGAAUUUCAUGACAUCAUCAAUUAAUUUAGUUUUCAUUAAAAAAAUGAAAUUAAUGAAGUUGACUUUCAUCAACCAAGUCAAUUCCAAAUUACAAUCAUAUUUUAAAAAGAGAAUUAUUUGGAAAUUUAAAAAAUAAAGUAAUUACCAUAACUCCUUCUAAAUUUAAAUUUAUUUUAAAGAAAACUUAAUCAUCAGAGUGUAAUAAAAAGGUAGAACUCCCUCUGUCCAACAGAGUCGAGUUCCAAACUUGUAAGAGAAGAAAGAACAGAAACAGAGCUCUCCAUCCAGUCCACUCGAGGUCAAUUGGUGAGAACAUUUGGCGCCAACUGUGGGACACGAUAAAACCUUAUCCCAUCCACAUUCAUUUUUUAGCUUUCUUACUAGAUGAGAAACAACAGACAGGGAUCGUUGGGAUCCAAAGGAAGUGAUAUCCUUGCUUUACAACAACUCAUGGACACCAUGAGAGCCCUUUAGGACGCAAAAGAAGAAUUCAAAGCUUAGUAGGAGAGGCUGCAAGCGAAAGCUAAAGCUGAGAGAAGAGCCUUUGUCUUCGACACGACCAAGCACCCCAUAGCAAACGCUUGCCCCAUAUGCUUCAUGGCGUCUAGAUAAAGGUUAACUUCAUCUUGGGCCAUGAGCCAGUCUUUGUCAUCGCUGGGUAAGAAAGUGGGUUCACCAUGGGUGGGGAUGUCGAAGCUUGGGUCCCAUAAGCUUUUCCCCCUUGAGCUCCCCGCCUCGCACUCUGGGACGAUGUUGACCUCUUGAUGGCCUUUAGAGUGAGCAGUGCCAAGGUAGGGAGUUCGACCAUCAGAAUGUGAGUGCUUAGCAGGGGGAGUAGUCGCCCUUCUUUUUCUCUUAAUGACCAACCUAGAGGUGGUCUUCUCGUCCCGCUCGGUUGAAGUUUGGACAACUAUCGCUAGGGCUUCUUUGGUUUAAGAGAUUCAUUGGGCAUCUUAGCAGUUGCCCUCAUCCUUUUUGCCAUCUCUGCUAGCUCUUCUUUGUUGAUUUUGGACAACAUUUUUUUUGCAAAGAAAACAAGGGAAUGGUUAAUAACAAUGGUGAAAUUAGUCGUACCAAGGAUAGGGAAUGGAAAAUACCAGUAUAAGCCUUUAGAGCACCAGAAGUGAAAUAUUAGCUCAGAAGAGAAGUGAUGUCGAAGAAGACCUUUAGGUUCGUCAGGAAUUUACAGACCUCCUGAUCUGAAGGGGGCAGGUCCUCCAGGCGCUGAGCAGUAUGGAAUCGAGGUUCUUUGGUCCAAUACAAAGGAAACCCAUCCAGAAGGGUUGAAUCUCCUUUUUUGAUAAUUUACCUUUAAAAAUUUUAUAAGAGGAUUGGAAGAAGGUGAGAAAAACUUCAACAAUCGACGAAAGGCCGAGCUGGGAACAAAGAAUGGUGAAAACAUGAAUGAAUGCCCAGCUAUUCGAGUGUAGCUGGGCAGGAGCUACAUUAUGCUCGGUUAACAACUCUUUUUCAAAGAUUGAUAAAGGAAGACGAAAGAGAACUUUUUAGAAAACGGUGGCAUAAAAAAAACAUAAUGGACCAUCGAGGUCAGAGGAUUCAUCACAACAUACUGGCUCAUCCUCCCUACAUGGAAUUAUUCUUACAAAUCUAUCAUGUUCUUUACCGAAAUGACAACCACUUUUGCGUAAAGCUACAACAGUUUCACGAGAGGUAUAGGAGGAGGUUUCAUCUAAAAGGUUUUGGGGUGCCCAGAGGUACACGGUUUUGUAAUCCAUUACAGAUUAUAUCUAGAAUAAACACAAACACGAAACAGUCACAAGCAUUGUUCAGAGUAAAAUAAGGGCACAUUCUAAAGUCAUACAAUGCAAUCAGCAAGUAAGCAACAAUCAUCGGCAGAAAAUGAUAAAUCCAGAAAGAAACCUAGCUUAGGCAAUAUGAUUAAUAAUGUGAAUGCUCGAUGAUGAGCUCAGGAAGUACAAUCGACAAGAUGAAUGCUCGAUGAUGGAGAAAGCUAAAGAGAAAAUACAUGUUACGAUAAGUGAUUAAGAGGCAGGAGUUUCUUUGCUACGGAAGAUCUUGAGUACACGAGGGUUUUUGGAGUGAGGAAGUGGAAGUGUGGAGAAGAAGCUGAAAAGUCUGCGAGGGUUUUAGAGGUUUAAGAGAAAUGGAACAGUGACGUAAGAGUAAGUUUAUGAACAUUGGCUUAUAUGAGUAUGGGAAUGCCAAGCGAUAAUGCUUUCCCACCGUUGAUGAGGAUGUCACGUGUACGCUCAGGAUUAAGUAUGGAGAGACGUCACUUCAUAGACACUUCAUUUAGCGUGCCUUACCUACCUCGUGGGAAGACGUCGCGUCAGUCACCAAAACACUAAAAAGACUCUUCGCUUAACCAAGCUCAGCUAGAGCCUGGGGGCUUGUGUACUAUGCAAGAGGGCUUGUGACCUCGACCCAAGUAUUUGGGGAGGUCCGCUUGGCAUUUGGGCCCUAGAGGUGGGUCGGGAGCUCGACCUAGGUGGGGGUUGUCUAGGAGAGGUAAUUAAGAUAAAAGAUAAAGAGAUAUUUAUUUUUUGUUAUAAUGUGCAUGUUAGUUAUAUUUCAAUACGUGUUAGUUACAUAUUAAUUAAAAAAGUUGUUGAGAAUAAAAGAGUAAGCACUCGAUAAUAAUGGUGUACACGUAAAAUAUAAUGUUUUCCUACUGUUAGCUCCUAAAGAUAAGUGGUUCCCGUUAGCAGGUGUUUUUUCUGUUAUGAUUAAAUGCUCUUUUGUUGAGAUUACAUUAUUGAUAGAAAAGUUGCUAGCGGGAUAUCUAUAAAAGGGACUUGAGACCCUCGGUGAAGAUACGAUGUUUCUGAAUACUAAGAAUGAAAUUGAUUUGAUAUCUCUAAUGCUUUCACUGACUUGAUCGGAGUGUAAUCAACAGGUAGAGUCCCCUCUGUCCAACGGAGUCGAGUUCCAUACUUGCCAGAAAAGACAAAUCAGAAGCGGAGCUCUCCAUCCAGUCCACCUAAAAUCAACCGACGAAACAUGUAUAAAUGUAUAAAUGUGUUACAUUCUUAUUUUAAUAUUUUAAAAUUAUGUUCUCAAAAAAUGUCAUAUGAUUAUAAUGCAUCAAGCAGUCAUUUGACAAGUGUCAAAUAAAUGUCAGAUGACUAUUAUGUCACCAAACAUACCCAUUUGACAUAGUUAUAGUACUAUUUAUUAGACACCUUUGCAUUUAGCAAUUCAAAAUUAACAUAGAAUAUAACCUGAAAUGCAAGUAAAAAGUGUACUACAAGAAAAUCAUGGAAUAAAAACCAAUUUUUAGAGACCAAAAUAAUUAGUUACAAUAGGAACUAAAAUAGAGACCAUUUUAGAAACUAAAAAAAAAUGGUUUCUAAAUUAGUUUCUAUUAUUGUUAAAUAGUUUCUAAAUUGGUAUCUAAUUAGCAACUAGAGUUUUAACUACCAAUUAUUUAGUUUCUAAAUUUGGUAGCAAAAAUCUUGGUUGCUAGAUACCAAUUUAGAAACUAUUUAACAAUAAUAGAAAAUAAUAUAAACUAAUUUAGAAAUCAAAUUUCUUUUUAGUUUCUAAAAUGGUCUUUAAUUUAGUUACUAUUGCAACUAAUUAUUUUGGUUUUUAUAAAUUGGUUUCUAUUUCAUGAUUUUUUUAGUGGUGAAAGAAUAUAAUAUAUAAAUGUCUAACCCAGAGUUUGACUUUACAGAUAGUAGAAGAAGAAAAUAAUAUAUAUAUAUAAGAUGGAAUAAAAGGAAUAAAUAUAAUUUUAACAAAUGGUGAGACUCAGUUUUAUUUCCAUAUGUUUUUGUCGAUCUCUCUUUUGAUAUUUUUUCCAAUUAAACACAUUUAAUUUCAUACUACUUCUUAUUUAUUUUCACUUUAUUUAUUUAUUUUGUCUUACCUAGUCUUUUUCUCCUAUUCACCAAGCACAGUCUGAUUGAGAGAGUUGAGUUACUAAAGGAACGCGAGAAUCUUAUAUUGCAAAUUAUGAACUAUAAAUUAUGAUAUAUUAGUAUAUUUUUAAAAUUAAAUAAAUAUAAUGAAUAAUAUUAAAUAUAGAUACAUUUAUUUUACUAUUCAUAAAAAAAAUUUCUAUUUAAUAAUAAUUUUAUUAUUACAUUUUUUAAUUUAAAAUUCAAACUUCUACAAGAUUAAGAUAUCUUAUUUCACAUAUAUGCAAUAUUAUUUUAUAAAAUAACAUUGUAUAUACAUAAUAAAUAAAUUUUAUAUAUAUAUAUAUAUAUAUAUAUAUAUAUAUAUAUAUANNNNNNNNNNNNNNNNNNNNNNNNNNNNNNNNNNNNNNNNNNNNNNNNNNNNNNNNNNNNNNNNNNNNNNNNNNNNNNNNNNNNNNNNNNNNNNNNNNNNNNNNNNNNNNNNNNNNNNNNNNNNNNNNNNNNNNNNNNNNNNNNNNNNNNNNNNNNNNNNNNNNNNNNNNNNNNNNNNNNNNNNNNNNNNNNNNNNNNNNNNNNNNNNNNNNNNNNNNNNNNNNNNNNNNNNNNNNNNNNNNNNNNNNNNNNNNNNNNNNNNNNNNNNNNNNNNNNNNNNNNNNNNNNNNNNNNNNNNNNNNNNNNNNNNNNNNNNNNNNNNNNNNNNNNNNNNNNNNNNNNNNNNNNNNNNNNNNNNNNNNNNNNNNNNNNNNNNNNNNNNNNNNNNNNNNNNNNNNNNNNNNNNNNNNNNNNNNNNNNNNNNNNNNNNNNNNNNNNNNNNNNNNNNNNNNNNNNNNNNNNNNNNNNNNNNNNNNNNNNNNNNNNNNNNNNNNNNNNNNNNNNNNNNNNNNNNNNNNNNNNNNNNNNNNNNNNNNNNNNNNNNNNNNNNNNNNNNNNNNNNNNNNNNNNNNNNNNNNNNNNNNNNNNNNNNNNNNNNNNNNNNNNNNNNNNNNNNNNNNNNNNNNNNNNNNNNNNNNNNNNNNNNNNNNNNNNNNNNNNNNNNNNNNNNNNNNNNNNNNNNNNNNNNNNNNNNNNNNNNNNNNNNNNNNNNNNNNNNNNNNNNNNNNNNNNNNNNNNNNNNNNNNNNNNNNNNNNNNNNNNNNNNNNNNNNNNNNNNNNNNNNNNNNNNNNNNNNNNNNNNNNNNNNNNNNNNNNNNNNNNNNNNNNNNNNNNNNNNNNNNNNNNNNNNNNNNNNNNNNNNNNNNNNNNNNNNNNNNNNNNNNNNNNNNNNNNNNNNNNNNNNNNNNNNNNNNNNNNNNNNNNNNNNNNNNNNNNNNNNNNNNNNNNNNNNNNNNNNNNNNNNNNNNNNNNNNNNNNNNNNNNNNNNNNNNNNNNNNNNNNNNNNNNNNNNNNNNNNNNNNNNNNNNNNNNNNNNNNNNNNNNNNNNNNNNNNNNNNNNNNNNNNNNNNNNNNNNNNNNNNNNNNNNNNNNNNNNNNNNNNNNNNNNNNNNNNNNNNNNNNNNNNNNNNNNNNNNNNNNNNNNNNNNNNNNNNNNNNNNNNNNNNNNNNNNNNNNNNNNNNNNNNNNNNNNNNNNNNNNNNNNNNNNNNNNNNNNNNNNNNNNNNNNNNNNNNNNNNNNNNNNNNNNNNNNNNNNNNNNNNNNNNNNNNNNNNNNNNNNNNNNNNNNNNNNNNNNNNNNNNNNNNNNNNNNNNNNNNNNNNNNNNNNNNNNNNNNNNNNNNNNNNNNNNNNNNNNNNNNNNNNNNNNNNNNNNNNNNNNNNNNNNNNNNNNNNNNNNNNNNNNNNNNNNNNNNNNNNNNNNNNNNNNNNNNNNNNNNNNNNNNNNNNNNNNNNNNNNNNNNNNNNNNNNNNNNNNNAGGGCUUACCCCUUUGAUUCCAAAAUACAUAUUUUAUCCUUUAUACUUCACACGAUACAUAGAUUAUAAUAAAUAAGUAUAUUUAGAAAUAUAAAUUUAUGAUAUAUUUAUAUGAAUAGUUUCAAUUGUAUUAUAGGACUUUUUUUAAAAAAAAAAAAAAUCCUGUUUAUAAUUUCUGUUUAAAAAGUUAAUGUAACUCAAGUGAUUGUUGUAGAUAAAGAUAAAAGAUGGUAGAUUAAACCAAAUAAAUAAAAAAUUGUAAUUUUGAAUUGGGUUAGAUAAUAUAUUUCUGGACAAUUAUAAGAGUAGAUAUUUAAUUAAAAAAUAAUUUUUUUAACUUAUAUAAAUAUUUUUAAUUUAUAAUACAAAAAUAAAUAAAUAAAUGUUAAGGAAUUGAUGGAGAGUUAUCGUAAACUUCAUGUAUUCAAUUCCUGCGUAUAAAAACAAUUUUUGACUAUAAAUAAACCAGGUGAUCUAUGGGAGCUAAACUACUAUGUAGAUUUUGAAAUCUGAUCAAUUCUUUCUGCAGAAGAAAUGAAUAAUUUCGUGGGAUUCGAUGGUGGAUUUACUGAAAAAUAAAUGCUAGUUACAGGAUAGGAUAUAAUAAUAAUAUUUACCGCUGAUAAUUAAUGAAGAAUUGAAUCAACGUUCUUUAUGUUACUGGUGCAUGAAUCUGUGCAUCCCAACAAAUUAAAACUAUCCUAUAUAUAAAAAAUAUAUAUACUCCAAUAAAAUGCAAAUGGACAAAAGCUAAAGUUGCUCAUCAGUAGACUAAUAUCAAAUCCUGUUUUAUUUUGUAUACAGUUAAGUCAAACAAUAAUUAAGUUUGAAGUGGGGCAUUUUGUCUUCUCUGUAAUAUAAAUAUUCCAAUAAUUUCUUUGUGACUGUAGUUAUCCUUUUAUGAAAAUGAUGUUAUUCUUUUAUUAUUAUUAUUAUUAUUAAAACAAGUAAUGUUUUAAAUAUUUUGGAUUUGAAUAAAUUUUGUUUGAAAAUAUAAUUUUAAAGUGAAGAAGUCUUUAAAAACUAUUCUUUAAACGUACUAUUUUUUUUAUUUUUUUUAGUGAAGAAGUCAUGAAAAGCUCUUUAUUUAAUAAUUAAGAAUGAUAAGAUAGUUUUUUUUUGUGAGAGAGACCAAUAUGGCGAGAAAUGCGUUCAAUGCUUCCUAGAUACAAUCGUAACAUUUUUUAUUUUUUAUUGUUUGAAUGAGUUUUCUUCUAUAAUUUAUUUUUAUUAUUUUUAUAUAUUAAGAAUUGAAUUCAAGUUUUCCUCCUGAUAAAAUUGAUUAUAAAAUGAGAAUUAUCUUCAUUUAUAUAGUAUAAAUUAGUUUUAUUUUUAGUUUAUGUAAGAUCUUUAACACAUUUUUUUUAUGUCGAAACAUGUACAUUUCGUGCAUGAAACUAGAUAUUUGUGAGUAGUCCGAUAACGAUCUAAUAACGAAUGACACAAUAAAUCUACUCAACCUCACUAGGAUAGACUCUGAUAGUAUAUUAAAAAUGAGUUUAAGUCUAUUUCAUUCUUAUAAAACCAACUUAUAAGAGGAGAAUUCUUCCAACUUAUUUGUAUAUUAUAAAUUGAUGUAGGACCUAAAAUUGAUUGAUAGUAAAUAUUACACUAAAGCCCAUGAUAAACUUUGCUCUUUGCUACUUUUAUCAAUGGUGUUGCAUUUUAUGCAUCCCUUCGAGGCCAACUAUUUUUUCGGUGGAUUGGUGACAAGAUGGAAGGAAUGUGAUGAUCAUUAUGCUUAUGAUUAUAACCUCAAUUAUUUCAGUCUCCUAAUCUUGCUUCUUGUAGAGGUAUUUCUCAUGGGAAUGCAGAAGAGUUUAUUGGUGAUUUCUCUGCGUUUCUUUAAGUUUAGACUGCUAUGAUUGCUAAGUUUUAUGGAGUUAUACAUGCUAUGGAGGAAAAUCAAAAGAUGGGGCUUACUAUGGCUAGAAUGAGAUUAUGUCUUGGUUUGUGAUGCGUGUAUUGCUAGGACUAAUGUUCUGUGGAUGCUUCGUAAUAGAUAGAAUACUUGUCUUAAUUACUGUGGGAAAAUCAUGUUUAGAAUUACUCAUAUUUUUCGUGAAGGGAAUGCGUGUGCUGGUAAGUUGGUUAAUUUGAGAUUUAUUCAUAGAGAACCAUUUCAUUGGUAUAAUAGACUUCCAUCUAGUCUAUUCUUAGAAUUCCUCAUGAAUAUGUAUAGUCUACAUAUGUAUCAUUUUUGUUAACAUAUGAGUUUUGGUCUAGUCUCCCCAUAUUUUUUUUUAUAUUUUAUUUCUUUUUUCUUUUUUUAAUAAUACUUUUUUCAUGUAAUGAUAGAUGAUUGUUGUUACUUGACGUGUCGGCUUACCUAAGAUAUCAAGUUACAUAAUGAUACCUAACAUGAAUGUUUUUAUAAAAAAAAGACGCUAAAGUUGUUAUAACCAUCCAUUAUCACUUCUAGUUUCUUUCCGUCACUAUUAUGUUCAAGUAUGUCAAAAUUAAGAAAAAAAAGUGUGGUUUAAAAAAAACAAAAAAGUGUUACGAAGCAAAAGAAAUUAAAAAAUAAACUAAAAUCGUAUUUGGAAACACAAUUUAAAAAAUAAAAAUAAAAAAUGGAAAAACACAAUUUUAUUAAAAAGAAAAAAAUGUCUUUAGAAACACCAUUUUAAUGCAAUGCGAACGGUUUGAGUGAAAUUCAUGGUUGAAAUCCUAAAUUUUUUCAAUUUGAAUUUAAAAGUGCUUCAAAACAUGAUUUAUUUAAAUUUAAUUUUUUAAAAAAUUUAUCCAUUUUGAUAAUAUAAAAAGGAAUGGCAGUGUUUAAAAAAAAAACUGGGUAGUGGGUUACUUUGCAUCCACAUUUAUAUGCGAGUAGAACCAUAUCUUUUAUAAUGGGACAAAAACAUUGCUUCAUGAAUCACAUAUCUGGUUUGCUCUAUCUCAAUAUUAUGGCUAGGCUCAUUGUACCUACGCUUAGACAAUGAUUGGGGCUCAUAUUUCUUAAGUGUCUUCUCUCAUUCACAUUACUGCAUCUUCUAAAACUAAUGGGUAGAUCGACAUCACACUCUCACCAUAUACGAAUAUAAAAUUAUCAAUGUAAAUGUGAAAACUCAACUUUCACUCAAAAAUUUAAUAUCUUUUUCAAUUUCUUUAGAUUAUACAAGUUUAGUUAGGAAUAUGAAGAUAAACAGAUUGAAAAACAAUGAUAAAUGAUAGUUUAAUUUUACUAAAAUUAUAUUGGAUGUAAGAGAUUGGAGAAUAUGUAUUGUGACCCUUGCCUAUUUAAAAAGUAUUUUACUAUGUCUUUUCUAAAUCUAAAUUAAUAAUAUUUUUCUUUAUAUUUUAUCUACUACUAAUCAAUCCAAUCAUAUGAUUUUUAAGAAAUCUUUCCACUUUGUCUCUUACUAGUUUCUAUUGUACUAGUCAAUUACACACUAAAUCCUAUUUCUUUCCUAUUUUGAUUUUAAGCAAAAGAAAUUUGAUUAGAUGUAAUAAGGAUUAAAGUGUAAGGUGUGUUCACCUAACUCCAACCCACCACUGCCAAAACAGGUUAGUGAUCUAACCAUCCCUCAAAAUUGAAAUGGGUCCGUCAAGAAGUUGAAAUUAGUAACUUACUUCAUUAAAGGAUAACUUGGUGGACUCACACACCACUUGUUCAAUAUUUUACCUUUUUAUUUUGAAUUUAAUUAUUUGAUUAUAGUCAUUAAUAUUAUUUUUUGGACAAUAAAAUAAAAUAAAAUAAAAUAAAAUAAAAUUUAAUAUUUUAAUAAAAUAAAAUUUAAUAUUUUAAUAAAAUAAAAUUUAAUAUUUUAAUAAAAUAAAAUUUAAUAUUUUAAUAAAAUAAAAUUUAAUAUUUUAAUAAAAUAAAAUUUAAUAUUUUAAUAAAAUAAAAUUUAAUAUUUUAAUAAAAUAAAAUUUAAUAUUUUAAUAAAAUAAAAUUUAAUAUUUAAAAUAAAUUAAAUGAUUUAUAAAAACAUUAAUAUUAAUAAAAUUGUAUAUAAAACGUUGAUCGCCACCAAUUUUAAUUCAAAAAAAACUUAAGAUUUCUCUUCAAAACACAAAGAAGAAAGAAGUCGGGUUGGUAAACUAACUCGCUCCGUCUUUGUCCUAUCAAGUUAAUGACUUAGUCAAACUGAACCGAUACAAGUUGACAGGUUAAAAAAAUUAAUUGCCCUAUCCUUUUUAUCAUCUACCCACUAGGAGUCUUCUACUACAAACUAACAUAUAAAAAAAAUUAAAAAUAAACGUUUUCACGACCCCUUGCAUCCCAUUGAUGUUUAUGAUUAGGGUAUAAGCCUCCAACUUAGCUUUAGUUUAAUAUAAUUUUAUACUAAAUUUAAAUAAAUUUAAUUCAAUUAUGUUAAAUUGGAAAUACCUUUUUUUUUCUAUAUAGCCACUCAAUUAAAUUUUGGGUUGAACUUGAUCAUAAUUUAAAAAUAAAAUAAUUAGUUAUUAUGAAAACAAAUAUUUUAAAAUACAUAUCUAAUAUUUUUUUAACAAUUAUCGGAUAACAUAUAAAAAAAUACUUAUUUGAUAAAUUAUAAAAUUAUUUUUAUAAUGAAAUUGUUAAACAAAUAGUCUUUUUAUAAUCGGGUUGGACGGGGUUUACUUGAUUUGAAUUCAUACACCUAUCCAACACAAGAAAUAUAAUUAAGUGGAGUUAGAUUAUGCGAAUUCACAUAUUAGGUUGGGCAUAACAAGCUUACACUCCAAUAUCUACUCAAUACAAAUUUUCUAUUUUAUUAAUGGCAGUUUCUUCCUACACUCCCACAUUUUUCUUCCUGCACCCCCACAUUGUUUAUGCAAAGACUAAACUGUCUCUACUAUUAUUUAAAAACCCUAAAAUGCACUUGAACUGUAUUUAUUUUUUGCAUUCUGGAUUAUGAAAUCCAGAAAAUUUUCAGAUUCGCACUUCCAGUUAAAUUUUGGAUCCACCAAUCCAUAAUUCAAAAUAUGCAUUUCACAUUCAAAAAUUCAUCAUUAAAAAAAAACAUUACGAAUUCACCAAUCUGUAACAGAAGUAUGCAUUCUGGAUUCAGAAAUCCAUAAUUAAAAAAAAAAGCAUUUUGGAUCCAUCAAUUCGUAACAAAAUUAGGCUUUCAGAUUCAGCAAUUCGGAAAACAAUAAUAUAUGCAAAAUUUGCUUUUGAAACACCUCAUCCAGAAAAAAAAAUGAUUCAGUUUCGAAUUGAUGAAUCCGUAACACACUCCCAGAUCUCAAUUUUCAGUAACCACGGUGCCCUUUUUCGAAUAAAAGUUAUGGCCAGUUUCGAGAUUUAGAAAAUUGUGGGGGUGCAGGAAGAAAAACAUAGGGGUGCAGGAAGAAGAAGCCUUUAUUAAUUCCUGCUAGAGUUUUAGUAAAGGCCCAUUAGAAUGCGUGAUGGCCCCAACAUAAUUGGAUUUCUCAGGUUUCUCUUUCGGCUGAUUCUUCCUGCACCAUACUAUUUUUACAUGCAUCCAACAACAUUAUCUAAAAAGUCUUUUGUACCUUAAUGAGAAAUCUUUGCCUUCCAAAUAUUAAUAUCCCUAAGCUUAAUCAAAUCAUUAUGAAAAUCCAGAAUUCAGAAAAUACUUUUAGAUAUGGAUAUCCGGAACUCAUAGCUCAUAUACACUUUUGGAUAUGAAUAUACAAAACUCAUAGCUCACUUUUGGAUAUGUCCAUUCAGAAGCUUAAAUGAGAAAUAAAAAUCACUUUCUAGAUUUCUAUAUCCAGAAGCCGCGACAAUGAAUUCUGGAUUCUUGCAUCUGUAACCAUACUACAGGCUUCCGGAUAUCGAGAUCCAGUAACAUUUCAGCUAAAAAAAACCGAAAAACGAACAUGGAGGUUGGUUUCUUACCUUAGAACAAUUUGCACUGCAACUAAGUAUGAAAACUUCCCUUCACCACCAUAGCAACUCACUACACCACCAUCAACUUCGUUCAAAAUGCACACCAAGCACUUCUCUGUAGGUCUUUUUCAAAACAACACAAGGACAAUUUUGGAUUUAAAAAUUUAUGUUGAGUGCAUAUAAAAAAUAUAUGGUGCAAAGAGAAACUUCCUUCUCUUUUUGUCAAUUGGUUCCUUCACUAGUACAAAAAGGUAAAUUAACGACGGUUAAAAUCGACAUUUAAAGACGGUUCCAGAACCGUCGUUAUUACAGGCGUCGUUAAAAGAUAUGAAUUUUUAACGACGGUUCUGGGAACCGUCGUUAAAAGGUAUGGACUUAUAACGACGGUUGUGAAAACCGUCGUUAAAAGUGGUUUCUAUUUUUCAAAAAAAAAAAUUACCGUGACUUUCAAAGACGUAUAAGUGUCCCUUUUAAAGACGGUUCCAAGUGGAACCGUCGUUAUAUGUACUGUUUAAAAAAAAAAUAAAAAAUUUUAUUUUUUAAAAAAUCUCAAAUAGCCUGCAUAAAGUUUUCAAUUCCAGAAAAUAAAAACAUUUCAAAUCAUAAUUUAAAUAUAAAAAUUACAUACAACAAAUUAUAACAUAAUACAAAAAAGUUUGGUAAUAUAUGAAAAAAUUUGUCAUUGUAAUGAUUUAUCUAUACUAGAGUGUUAUACAUGGUUACAAAAUACUUUGACCAUGUUGUUCUCACAUACUCCAAUGCUUCUAAAUCUAGCGGGUGUUGGUCGUUGAACAACUGUGACAUUUGAAAUAUUUUGAAUUAGUGCAUGAUUAAUAAAUCUCAAAUUUUAAAGUGUUUAUUGUAUUGAGGUAUUACCUUAUCCCAACCUUUCAUAAUUUCAGCUUGCAAAAUAGUCAACAUCCACUGCAUAACAUAAUAACCGCACUCAUAAUUUUGAGGUUGCCUGUUGGACUGCAUGUGAAAAUAAAUGUAUUANNNNNNNNNNNNNNNNNNNNNNNNNNNNNNNNNNNNNNNNNNNNNNNNNNNNNNNNNNNNNNNNNNNNNNNNNNNNNNNNNNNNNNNNNNNNNNNNNNNNAACUCCAUCUUUUCAACAGAAGUCUUGACGUAGAUCACUCAAUAUGUAAUCAUGAAAAAAUAAAACAAAAAUGCCGAAGGUCGGACACCUCCGGACUCAGAACCAAUGCGUUCAAUAUGUCAAAACAAUAUAUAAUCAUUGAAAAUUAAAUCAAAACUGCCGAAGGUCGGACACCUCUGAACUCAGAAUAAAUUCGUUCAAUAUAUGCAAUCAAUAUCUAAUCAUGAAAAACUAAAUUCAGAUUGCCGAAGGUCGGACACCCUCGGACUCAGACUUAGUACAUUCAAUAUAUAAAAUCAAUAUCUAAAUCAGAACAAACACUCUCAAAAUAUAAUAAAUCAAAAUUUAAUACAUAAUUAAAUAAUAAAUAAACAUAUACUAACCUCAAAAUAUAAACACUGGUCGCAGGGGUAGAGCAAGAUGGCGCUGGUGUUGAGUGGGGCGGCGCUGGUUGCAGGGUUGUGGCAGCGUGAGGCCACGCUGGUCACAGGGGGCCGCGGGUGAGCUCUAGUCGCGGCAAAGCAAGGCGCGUGCGAGGCUAGGCGGCGCGGGUGAGUGCUAAUCGCGGCAGGGCACGCGCGAGGCUAGGACGCACGCGAGUCUAGGGCGGCGCGGGGAGCUGGGGCGGCGCGGGGAGCUGGGCCGGCACGGAGCGCACAGGGGCGCGCGAGNNNNNNNNNNNNNNNNNNNNNNNNNNNNNNNNNNNNNNNNNNNNNNNNNNNNNNNNNNNNNNNNNNNNNNNNNNNNNNNNNNNNNNNNNNNNNNNNNNNNCUAGGGUGGAGAGCUAGGUCGCGCGGGCGGUGGAGCGGCGACACUGGCGAUGGCGUGAAGGUACUGGGUGCGGGUGAGAAUGAGAGAAAGAGGGAAACUGGAAUGUGAAAAUGAAGAGAGGGAAGGCGCGCUGGUAAGGGAAAAAUUAAAAAAGCAACUCACUUUUAACGACGGUUCUGGGAGAACCGUAGCGAAAAAACCUACUUUUAACGACGGUUCAGUAGGGAACCGUCGUUAAAACCUCCUCAUCCACAUUUAACGACGGUUCAAGCUAUAACUGUCGUUAAAAAGCCAAAAAAAAUUCAAUAUAUUUACGGAACUGCCACCGCCUCGCUUAUUACAAUGGUUCUUUUCUAACCGUCUUUAAAGGGAGUCGUUAAUGAAGUUUUUUGUACUAGUGCUUGUACAAUAAACGAUUUUUUAUUUAAGUAUUAGAGCUAUUUUGUUUUACACCCUAUUUACUCAUGUAUUUUUAUAGGAUGUAAAAAAAAGAUAAAAUCGUCUCCUAGUUUAUUUUAGGAUUGAACAAUGUAUAAAAUACUUCUAAAUUAUAUAAUUUAAAAGUUUAUUUUAAAUCUAAAAAUCUAUUAGAAAUUACACAUUGUAGAAAUAUUUUUCUUUUCUAAAUUAUAUAGUCUAAAAGUAAAAUUAACCUCCAAAUUGUUUAGUAAUUUAAUAUAUAUUUUUAAGUUUUAAAUUACACAAUUUUAGAUAUUUUUGAAUUAAACAUUUUAAAAAUAACUUUAAAUGAAAGAGAAAAGUAAAAAAUUUAAUAUUUAUAUAAAUAAGAUAUUUUGUAUUUGAGAAACAAUAGAAAAAAAGCAAUAACAUACCUUAUGGUAGAGGGUAAAGCUUUGAAGUGGCACACAACUCUAACAAAUUUUUUUCCCUAUUCAUCUAUAUUAUCGUGGUCUGAUUUUACUAAAAGACUGAUUGAGCGUUUUGGAAAUAUAUGUGAUGACCCUAUGGUAGAGUUAAUGAGAUUAAGACAAAGGCAUUUAGUUAAUGACUAUCAUGAAGAAUUUAAUUAAAUUAUUACAAGAUUGAAUAUUUUAGAUGUCUAUGUUUUAAGUUGUUUUAUUGGAGGCCUCAAGAAAGAUGUACAGAUGAUGGUCAAAAUGUUUCAGCCUACAACUGUGAGUCGUGUUUUCCCUUGCAAGGAUGUAUGGAGAUGCUAACCUUGUAUUUAAUUCUAACAAGAGAAAAAGAGGAGUAUUGAGUCCUACACCGACAUGUCCAAUGAGAUUUCAACCAAUUUUCUCUAUGAAGCCAAAAUCCUAGAGAAAUCUUACACCUGCAUACAUGUCUAAAAGGAGAGUGAAAAUACUAUGUUAUUUUUGUGAUGAGCCUUACUCCAUGGAACAUAGUUUGGUUUGUAAGAAAUUGCAUAUUCAUGUGAUGGAGAUGGAGGACGAAAACAUUAUUGUCGAGGAAACUACAAACAAGGAUGGGGGUAGACACAGUUGCCUGAAUCGCAAAUUCUGUUAAUGCAUUAACAAGGAUAAGAGGAUUUCAAGUCAUGCGGAUUACAUCUGUGCUGUUGUGGAAUGUUUAAAGUUUGUUGGUUGGUGGCGGAAUAGAGAAACGAAGGGGGUUAGUUUAUUGGUGAACCUACAUGCUGUACAGAGGAUGGCUGUGGAGUUGAGUGGAUGUAUGAGUGGUUGAAUUUGGAGCAGGGAUCUUGCUGGCAGUAUGAGUUGAGGUCUGAGGAAGGUGCUAGUUUCGAGCUGAGACCGGUUAGAUAAAAAUCUUGUUCCCCUGUUCUCUGUUUGAAUCAGCUUUAGGCCCUUGUAGGUGUAAGUAUAUUCAGGUCACGGGUGUGAAUAUGCUGGAGUUGUGUGGAAGCACCUCAGGCACUGCAGAAGCUAGUUUUUAAAAGAAAGGAAUUAAAGUCCUCUCAUGGCGUGUCCAUUGGAAGAAAGGCUGGUGUUGGGAUUCCAAUGCUGGCUGCAGUUCGUCAAUGGGAAUAUCAGUAUAAGUCUGCUGUUGACUCUGAUGAAGGUGUCUUUGGUAGAUGAUGGAAGUGAGAGCUCAAGGGGUACCCCUAAUCUGCUUGGGGUGCAGUUGCAGGAAGUGAUUUGGGUGGCUGUGGAGCCAUGGGGCUGAUCCCGGGAUGGUUAGGCUUUUUAUGCUGGAGACACCUUGCAUGGUUGAGAGUAAGCACUGGUAAUUUCUUAGGACUGUGCUGAAUCGCAGUGGAUAUAGUGUUGACAGUGGAUAGUGGUGUUCAUGGUUCAGAAAACUUUUCAAAUGGCAAUAUCAUCUUGGUUGUUUUGACAAGGAUCGUGGUGCGAACGCUGUGAAAAGGUAAAAGCUGUAAGUGCAGGUCAUGGACGGAAGUGGAGUGAAGGUGCUGAAGCAAUAAGCAGGGGUAACGAAGGAAGGCUACCUGCGGCUAAAUAAAUGUAGGAGUGUUUUUUGGGUUUGUAUAUAGUGAUGCAGGAAAGAAGUUGGGUACGUAUGUGGUUUCUAUAGCCUUACCACAUCUUUUUGGGGUUUUAUCACGUUUGCUGCACCUUUCGAGAUGUAUUUGUUUCUGUUUAAAUGUGUGAGCUGGUGGGUUAAAUACCCACUAUGUGUGAUGUUGGCUACUUGUCUGUUGGGUGUGCCUCUGUUUAUAUCCUACGGAGAAGUAUCUUUAGUUAGUGUAUACGGGUUGGGAUACCCCUGAAGUAUCCCACUAAUUUAAUUUAUUUCAUUGCUGAUAAAAAAAAAGUCAUGCGGAUUACGGGAUAUUACCAAAAAACACCAAUGCACAUUUUGAUUGAUAGUAACCACAAUUUAUUGAAUGUUGUUGUGUCAGAUGAGUCUAAAAUAUUGAUUUCUUCUAUGGUUAAGAAUUUUAAUUGGACUAUUUAACAUACAAAUUUUACAAUACACAUGUUGUUACUUCCCCUAAGGUGUUGUGAUUUGGUCUUGGGCAUAGAAUGGUUGAUACAAAUAGGAGAUAUCAUUUAAAACUUGAUAAACUUACUAUGGAGUUUAAAGUUCAAGGAGGGAGACAUGUGUUGAAAGGAGCUACAACAAACAAGGUAAAAAACUGUUAAGAAACAACAAUUUGUAAAGCAUUAACAAAUGAUGUGCACUUGUCAAUGAUGCAAGUAGGGGAUGAAACAUGAACUUUAUUGCAGUCUUUAACAACCCAUGAGGACCAAUCAAGAUUACCUAUCAAAGUAGAAGAAUUACUAAGAGAAGUAACCUACAAAUUAGAAUUUCCUGUAAACUCAAAAAUUCAUAAUGUGUUUGCAGUCUCCACUUUGUUGCCUUAUCAAGUUGAGGAGAGGUUGCAGGAGAAGGAGCCCGAAGACAUCUUGGAUAAGAUAACUGUAAAGAGGAGGAGAAUGACAACCACCAAGGUGCUUGUGAAAAGGAAGCAUGAACUUUCAAAAAAUUUUACAUGGGAGUUUUAUUACGAUAUGACAAGAAAAUACCCUUCAUUUCAUUUUUGAGGACAAAAAUGUGCUGAUAGAAGAAGCAUUGUUACAUAUUAAGUUUAUUUUUAAGGGUUUUUUCAGUUAAGCAAUUCCUUGAACUGGAUUCACCACCUCUUCAUUACCUAAAUAAAUAAGACAUUGUAUUUGAGAAAAGAUAGAAAAAAACAAUAAAAUACCACAUUUCCCUUCUCACCCUUUCUGUUCAUUUCCUUUUUUCUCUCUCUAUUUCUAAUUCAUUUUCGUUAAUAAAUACCAAUCAAGGAUUUUCUUUUUCAGCGGUGAUCUUCAGUGACUCUAAGGUGGAACUCUAUACCGUUUUUGACUUAUCAAUAUAACAUUUGUAUAAUUUUUUUUCUAUAUUUCUCUUUAUCACUUCACUCUUCCUAUUUCAUAUUUUGAUUCAUUUUUCUCUAAUUCUUCUUGUAGAAUUAAAAGUUAAACAAUAUAAAUCAAAAUAUAAUUUCCUUUUUAUAAAUUAUCUUCAAGUACUUCUAAAAUUUCUCAUUUUUAGACUUUAACAAGAGAAUUGGAUAAAUAUAUAAUUAAAUAAAACUAUUUAAAAUUAGAUAAAAUAUUCCUAAAUUUCAAUUAUUUUUUUAUCAACAAAAUGUUAGAUGUCAACACGAUAAUUUAUUUGAUAGUGAUAUCUCAUCUUUCAUUUCCUUUUUACUAUUAAACUAAUCUUAUAACUCGUCAUUUUAAGUAAUUAAUGUUGUAACAACCUAAAAAGAAAAGAAAGAAACACAAACACCCACAUGGUCUUUUUCUCUUUCUUUUUUCUCUCUCCAUCUCUCUUCAUCUCUCCCUUCUCUCUUCAUUUCUCACUCCAUACCUCAUCUAUUUUAGAAUCUGAUCGUACCACGCUGUAGUAGAGGAAUUAAGAAACAUUUCUACCCGAACAGAUUCUCUAACAGAGUAAGUUCAUAUUUGCUCUAAAGAUCCUUUAUUAUCUAUUUUUCCUUAGGAUUUAGUCAUCAAUCUUGGUGGGUCACUUGAGAAAAGUUAUUUGCUCAAUUUAUUUUGCUAUAUAUUGAAUAUUUGUUAUAUUUGGAUAACUUGCAUUAGGCCCUUAUAUUUUGAAGCUUAUCCAGACUGAAAGACUCAAAUUUUAGAGGUUGCUUUGAAAGCAAACAAUUACGGUAAGGGAAGCUAAGUUUAACUUUCAAUAGUACCUAAGGUUAGAAGAUCUGAAUGUAGAGGGGAUAUGGUCUCAACUUUCAAUUUCUCUUGCAGGAAUGUUAUUUGAUACAAUUGUUUGAUUUUAUGUUGUGUGAACAUGUAUAAAUAUUAGAUUUUGAUAGUUUGGAAGUUAAAUAUGGUUUUUGAUGUUGGAAAGGUUCUUAAAUGUUAUGAAUUUUUAUGUGUUAUGUGAUUGAAUGAUAUGUAUUAUAUAUGAAUGAUGAAAAUUGUAUGAAAAUGAUGUCAUACAUUAUAAUGUAUGAGUUGUUGUUUGAUGAUACUUUAAGUAUGAAAUUGCAAUGUUUAAUAAAGAUCCUCUAGCUUCAUUGAUGAUCUAAGUCAUAUAGACUAAGAUAUCAGGUGGUUAGAAGCUUAUGAGAGAAUUCAUACACACCGGGUCUCGUUGUAUACACUCGGUAUUGGAUGUUUAAAGUUAUCCUGAUCCUUGAUGUAUGGAUUAGAUGUUAGUCUCUGGUAGGGACAUACUUAACGAGUCUUCCGGAAGAUGAUGGAUUCAUGUGUAGUUAUUGGAUUGAAAUGAAAUCCAAUGAUUGUGAUUGAAAAUAGAUCCAUGUGUGAUCUAUAUGAAUGAUGGAAUUGGUAUUAAAAUUUUAUAUGACAACAUUUAAAGAAAUGUUUAUAAAUGAUUAGUCUAAUUGGUUCUUUUUGCAUGAAUUAAGUAUGUUAUGGAAUUUCUUUUCAUUAGCUUACCAUUACUUUUCUUGUUGUGUUGUGAACUGUGAUGAUUGUACUACGUAGAUGGGAAAAUGAUCAUAUAGGUGCUGGGGUGCUUUAGGAUGUUGUUUUGAACCUUAUAUUGUAAAUAUUUGUAUUUGUAUAAGUUCUAAUCAUGUAGUAGGAAUGUUUUGAAAAACUCCAAGCUUGUGUAGAAACAUUUAGAAUUGGUAUUGUAAUAGUUAGAUGUAUUUUUGGUGUAUUAAAUUUAAUGGUAUUAGAGCAGUUCAUCCUUAGCUUAACCUAAGGGUAGUGGGUUUAUUGUGUUUCUCUUGCGUGUAGAUUUUUGUUUAGUCUAACUUCAAGACUUAGUUAAAAGUUUCUAAUAGGAUGUUUAACAAAGUUGUUUUCUUGAAAUCCUGUUUGUGCUGAAGUCAAACUAGUUGUUAUAAAUAAACAUGAAAGUAUUAAGAUUUAAAAGAAUCUUGAUAGAGUGGUGAGGGUGCACACUCAUGACUAGAUCAAGAUUAUUUUCUAUCUUAAUUCUAAUUAGUUAGAGUACAUUUUAGAGCUAAGUAUUUAUUGUUUUUUUACUUGUUUCGUGUGAUUAUUUCUUUUAAGUUAAUUUGUCUUAAAGAUGUAGUUGGAAAUUUUUAGUAAUUUCUAACCCAAUUCUUUAUUUGCUUAGAAAAUGGCACAUAGAUUGUUGGAAUUAAUGGCUUAAAGAAAAUGGGGGUGAAUUGUUUAUCAAAGAUUUUCGCAAAGAUUGAAUAAGAAUGAAGCUUUAAUACAAUUCACAUAUUAAGCAAUCAAGGAAAGCAAUCAAACAAUGAUUAAGAAACUGUUUGCAGAAUUUCAAUCGGUUGAAACUUCGUUUUAACCAGUUGUUUAUAGCAAGUAUUAAAGGAAAAGAAAGAAUAGGGUAAAUCCCUUGUGUAUAUUGAACACAUAGGGUUAUGUUUAUAUAGGAAAAGAAACAUAUGGGCGAAGCCCAUUACAUAAAUACGAGAUAUCUAACAAUAUCUAUAGUAUCUAAUAAUAUCUAACACUCCCCCUCAAGCUGGUGUAUAUAGAUCAUAUGUACCCAGCUUGUUACAAAUGUAAUCAAUCCUAGGCCCUCGUAAGGGUUUAGUAAAAAUAUCUACUAAUUGAUUAUUUGAAUUAACAAACUCAGUCUUGAUAUCUCCCGAUAUAAUCUUUUCUCGAAUGAAAUGACAAUCAAUCUCAAUAUGUUUUGUCCUUUCAUGAAAAACUAGAUUUGAGCUAAUACGAAGAGCAGCCUGAUUAUCACAUAUAAGUGUCAUUUGAGUAACCUCUCCAAAUUGCAAUUCUUUAAGUAACUGUUUAAGCCAAAUAAGCUCACAAGUAGCCGAGGCCAUACCUCUAUAUUUUGCUUCUGCACUAGAUCUUGCCACAACACUUUGUGUCUUGCUCUUCCAAGAGAUCAAGUUAUCACCAAUGGAGACACAAUAACCAGAAGUUGAUCUUCUAUCAGAUGGAGAUCCUGCCCAAUCAGCAUCUGAAUAACAAAUGACUUUAGUAUGGUUAUUAUGACCAUAUAACAAACCUUUUCCAGGAGAGCCUUUAAUGUAAUUUACUAUACGAAUGACUGCAUUCCAAUAAUCUUCACAUGAAGAAUUAAGAAAUUGACUCACCACACUGACUGCAAAGGAAAUAUCAGGACGAGUAACAGUGAGAUAGUUCAAUUUUCCAACUAAUCUUCUGUACUUCUCAGGAUCUGAAAGAGGCUCCCCCUGAUUGGGUAGAAGCUUGACAUUGGGAUCCAUGGGAGUAUCAACAGAUUUCGAAUUCAUCAACCUAAUUUCCUCCAAAAUAUCUAAUGCAUAUUUUCUUUGAGAGAUAACAAUACCAGUAUUGGAUUGUGCUACCUCAAUCCCUAAGAAAUAUUUGAGUUUGCCAAGAUCUUUGGUCUGAAAGUGUUGACAGGUGUUGUUUUACUUGUGAGAUGCCAUGGUGAUCACUGCCUGUAAGAACAAUGUCAUCAACAUAUACUACAAGAUAGAUACACCCAACACUCGAGUGACGAUAAAAAACUGAAUGAUCUCCUUCACUGCGAGUCAUACCAAAUUGUUGAACAACAUUGCUAAAUUUUCCAAACCAAGCCCUAGGAGACUGCUUGAGGCCAUAUAAGGAUUUGCGAAGAUGACAUACCAAUCCAGAAGACUCCCCCUGAGCAACAAAACCGGGAGGUUGCUCCAUAUAAAUUUCUUCCUGCGAAGAAAAGCAUUUUUAACAUCCAGUUGAUAAAGAGGCCACUGUUGAAGAGCAGCCAUAGCUAUGAAUAAGCGAAUAAAGGCCAUCUUUGCUACUGAAGAAAAAGUAUCACCAUAGUCUAAACCAAAAAUUUUGGUAUGACCCUUAGCCACAAGACAAGCUUUGAGACGAUCAAUAGUACCAUCAAGACCAACUUUGAUAGCAAAAAUCCACCUGUAACCAACAACAGAUUUCCUAGAAGGUAAAGGAACAAGUUCCCAAGUUCCAUUAUUCUGAAGCGCAUUCAUUUCAUCAAACAUGGCCUGACGCCAACCAGAAUGAGCUAAGGCAUCACCUACAGAUUUUGGAAUGGAUACAGAAGAAAUAAAUGAAAGGCAGGUAUAAAAGGGUUGAGAUAGUCUAUGGUAACUCAAAGAAGUAUAAUGUGGAGAGGGAUUACGAGUAGAACGUAUACCUUUACAGAUUGCAAUAGGAAGAUCAGGUUCAACAGUCGGAGGUUCAACUGUAGGAGCCGAAGGGGGAUGAGGUGUUGGCACCGGAAUAGAGUUUGCUGAUGGACGAUGAGACGUUUGACGACGACUAUACACUUGAAGAGUUGGUGGCGGUGGUGAAUCGUUAGGUGCACUAGGCACAACAAGAGGAAUAUUAACUUGAUUAGAUGAAGAAAUUGAAGGAGAAAGACAAGACUUAAAGUAAAGGGAAGAUUCACUGAAGGUGACAUCUGUUGAAAUAAAAUAACGGUUUAAAGACGGUGAGAAACAUUUAUAUCCUUUUUGUGAUCUAGUGAACCCUAAAAAGACACAUUUGUGUGACUUAGGAGAUAAUUUAUCAAGACGAGGACUAAAAUUAUGAACAAAACAUGUGGACCCAAAAACUUUGGGAGGUAAAGAGUGGAGAGGGUCUUGUGGAAAUAAAAUAGAAUGAGGAAUUUUGUUAUCUAAAACUGAAGAUGACAUGCGAUUAAUGAGAUAACAUGCACUAAGAACAACAUCACCCAAAAAACGCUGAGGAAUAUCACCAUGGAUUAAAAUAGUACGAGUUGUUUCUACAAGAUGUCUAUUCUUGCGCUCAGCCACCCCAUUUUGUUGAGGCGUAUAAGAACAUGAAGUUUGAUGAAGAAUACCAUGAGAAGCCAUAAAUUUUUUAAAAGAAUGAGAAAGAUACUCACGUCCAUUAUCACUGCGCAAAAUUCGGAUGGAAAUUCCAAAUUGAUUUUUAAUUUCAUUGUAAAAUAUUUGAAAUAUAGAAAACAACUCAGAACGGUUUUUCAUUCAAAAUACCCAAGUACAUCUUGAAUAAUCAUCAAUAAAAGUAAUAAAAUACUGAAAUCCUAAAUUAGACUUAAUACGACUUGGUCCCCAAAUGUCAAAGUGAACUAAGGCAAAAGGAGAUGAAGCACGUUGUGAGACACUACUAGGAAAAGAACUACGAAUGUGAUUCCCUAACUGACACGACUCACGAUAAAGUAGACACAUUAGACAAACUUGGAACAAGCUACUACAUCUUGGCAAGAAUAGGAUGACCCAACCAAGCAUGAAUGAGAGAUGGAGAAUCCAUAAUUGCGCCAACAUGUGCAAAGAUCUAUAGUUGAUAAAGUCCAUGAGACUCACAUUCGGUGCCAAUCAUCUGUCCCGAACUCCGGUCCUGUAAAGUAACACAAUCUUUGGUAAAAGAAAUAACACAAUCAAGGGAACGGGUGAGACGACUAAUGGAUAAUAAGUUAAAUGGAGACCCAGAGUCAUAAAGAACAUUAUCAAUAGAUAAAAAAGAAAAAAGAUUAAUAGUACCAACACGAUGUGAUGGUACCCUAUAUCCAUUGGCAAUGGUAACCGAAGGUAAAUAACCUGUAGUAGAUAGGGAAGAGAAAAAAGAUUUAUUACCAGUAAUGUGAUCAGUGGCACCUGAAUCUAGAACCCAAGGGCCAUGGGAAGUGAAGUGAGUGAGGCCAACAAAAGAUGUACCUGAAUGUGCAACAGAAGCCGUGGAACUAGGGUUCUGAAGAUCCUCAUACCAUUUAAGAAAUUCAUUGAAAAUAGCAGGCUGGCCUGGGGUAUCAAUUGAAGUAUGGUCCAUGGUAGAAGGUUGCACAGGGGCAAUUUGAGCAACCGCAACAGAUCUAGGAGGACGACCAUGUAUGGCAUAACAACUGUCAAUUUUGUGGCCAAGUUUGCCACAAUGGUCACACUUGUGACGCCCUUUGCCCGACUUGUGAGGGCGAGUACGAUCAUUAUGCUGAGAGACUAAAGCAGAAGAGUCAUCAACAUGAGACGUUAUAUCAGUGGUGUGUUUACCUGGCACGUGCAAAAGGGUAGAUCAAGUGGAAGUAAAAUUGGGCACAAUAGGAGAUCCCAAAAUUUGAUCACGAACAUGAGAAUAAUCAUCAGGAAGGCCAUGUAAACCCAAUAACAUGAAGAAGAGCAUGAAGUUUACCUAGAUGUUCUGCCAUUGUACCAUCAAGACGUUUGGGAGCAACAAUUGUGAGAAGAUUUUGACACACACCAUAAAGACAUUGAGUAUCAUUGGUGUAUAAUAAUUUUGCUUGUUCCCAAACUUCUGAACAUGUCUCAUAGGUAUGAAAAAUUUGUUUUAAAGAUGAGUGAAUGGUCGAUUUGAUACCAAUGCAUAAUUGAGCCUCAAUUUUCAACCAACGGAAAACCUCAUUUUCAGCAAGAGUAGGAUAAGUAAGAUGAUCAACAUAACCUUAACUCUUAAACCAUAAUUUAAUAUCUGAUGCCCAAGUGUCAUAAUUGGUUCCAUCCAAUUUGUCAAUGGAAAGAUGAACAUUGACGUAAUUAGUAUAAAUAAAUGAAUCCGGCAUAAUGACUGCGGAAGAAGCCACAGUGGUAGCGGCAACAGAAGAAGCCAUAGUGGCAGCGGAAGCGGAAGAAGUCAUAGAAGAUAAGGACAAAUCCAGUCACCGGUUAAUUGGCGGCAGCAACAAAGAUGAAGGCUCCGGUAGCGAUUCCGGCAGCGUCUCCAGUGGAGGCUUCGACGAGAUUCCGGUGACGGCUCUGGCAGGAUUCCGGUGACGGCUCCGACGAGAUUCCGACGGCGACUCCGGUGAGGGUUCGAUGGUUGCUCCGGCGAGACAGUGGGGUGGUGGCUGGAAAAUUCCAGUGAAUAGUGGGUUCACCAAUAAAAAUUGAACCCAAAACCCUAACCUUAUGCUCUAGAUACCAUAUUAAAGAAAAAGAAAGAAUAAGGUAAAUCCCUUGUGUAUAUUGAACACAUAGGGUUAUGUUUAUAUAGGAAAAGAAACAUAUAGGCUAAGCCCAUUACAUAAAUAUGAGAUAUCUAACAAUAUCUAUAAUAUCUCAUAAUAUCCAAUAAUAUCUAAUUAUAUCUAAUAAUAUCUAAUAAUAUCUAACAGCAACAAUCAAAACAUAAUUAAAACAAAUAGUUUAUAAGGAGUGAGAGAGAGAGAAAUUUACUUAGCCAAUUUUAUACUGGUUCACUCAACCUUGAGCUACAUCCAAUUCCCAGAACAACAACUGGGUUCCACUAGUAAUCACUCACAGAUUACAAACAACACAACCACAAAGAGGUGAUCUUGAAACCACAAGAACCACUCACCCUCUUUGCAACCACACACCUCUAGUUCAAACAUGCUCUGACUUUACAGUAUUUCACACACACUUACAAGUUUAUGAAAGAGCAAUUACAAGAAUCAUGAAAGGAACAAAUUACACCUGAGUUUACAGAAAUCAGAAAGCUCCUAUGAUCAGACCUUGAACCAGUGCACAACUAUUCAACAAUCUUGCAAAACUUUUGAAAAACUUCUUUCAAAACUAAUCUCAAUCUCACUGUAUUUGAUAUAAAACUUGUGUAUUUUUUUUUAAAAGAAAAGUCAUAUUAUAGUACUCAAAACUAGUCGUUAUAGGCAGCAUUUAUGAGCCAAAACAAUUUUGAUUCACAUCCAAAAUAGAUUAACAGAUUUUCAAAAAGCUGUUAUGAAAUAUCACAAUCAACCGGUUGAAAAGUCGGUUUAACCGGUUGAAUUGGUUAAGCAGUUAUUUAACCAAAUCAAAAACAGUUUUAAAACCUUAAAACAAGCCAAGUGACAAACAACCGAUUAUUUCGAGGAUUCAACUGGUUGUUUUUCUCUUUGCUUAGAAAAACACUUUUCUCUUUUAAAACAAAUUAAGCAAGUUUGUCAAGGGACUAGGAAAUACAAAGAUUUUAAACACCCUAGAAUAAACCCAAACCAAAAGCAGCACAACUUCAACCUUCAUCAUGGAUUUGAAACAUCAAAGCUCCCAUGCUCUUCAUAGACCACUUAAUACUCCUCCAGUAGUAUAUAUGCCCAACAUAGCUCGAGCAAUAGAGAUGAUGACAACAGACUUCCAACAACAGAGUGCUACUAUGGCACAACAACAUUAGGUCGCCCUUCAUCAAUUAGAAACAACUAGAUUAACAACAGAAGCGUCUCAACUUCGUCAACAACCCCAUACCUUUAGUAUGGAGGAUUUUUUGAGACAUAAUCCACCAAAAUUUAAUGGGAGGGUAAAUCCAGAUGAAGCAGACCAGUUGAUGUUAGAAAUAGAAAGAAUAUUUGAAGCUACUCAAUGUUUUGAAGAGAAGAAGUUAUCCUAUGCCAUUUAUGUUCUAACUGAAGAAACUGAAUUUUGGUGGAUAGACAUGAAGCAAAUGAUGGAAGACAAAGGAGAAUAUGCUACUUUCAAAGCAAGAUUCUUGGAGGAAUAUUUUCAUGAAAGUGUCAGAUAUGCAAAGGAGAUUGAAUUCAUGUAGCUAGAUCAUGGAAAUAUUUUUGUCACUGAGUAUGCUACCAGAUUCAAACAUUUGGCUAGAUUUUAUACCCAGACUAUGAUUGAAGCUUGGAGAUGCAAAAAAUUUGAGUUUGGAUUAAGACAUGAGCUUAAGGAAGUGGUAUUCCCAAUGUCCACUAGAGAUUCCCUGCUCUAGUGGAGAAGGCAAAGGUGGUGAAGAGUUGAAAAUUUGUAGUAGAGCUAUUAAGCCACAAAUGGUGGAAGGACCUUAUACAAGCACACCCAAAUAUGAAGAUAAAAAUAAGCCUUAUUCUGGACCUCAAUUCUUCAGGAGUGGAGGGCUUACUUCUCAGUUGCUACAAAAUGUCAAAUGUUUUAGGUGUGGUGGGGAACAUAUAGUUAAAUUUUGUCCCCAUCCAGUGCCAAAUGUUACAUGUGAUAGAAGCCAUAGAUAUGGUCAUGCUACAAAGGACUAUCGUGCCAGACUUGAGGCCCUAAGUAAUACUGGAGUGCAACAGAAUAAUAAUCAGAAACCCAGAGCAUCAGGCAGAGUUUUUGCCAUUAGUGGAGUUGAAGCUCACAAUCUAAUAGCCUUGUUAGAGGUAUUUUUUCUAUCCCUGGAACAUAUUGCAUUGUUUGAUUAUGGGGAAACCCAUUCUUUUAUAUCUUUUGAUUGUGUUGAAAAACUUAAGUUGCUAGUCCGAGAAUUAGAAAUUGAGUUGGUGGUAUCUACACCAACAAAAGGUAUGGUAGUAACUUCUUCUAUGAGUGUUGAGUGUCCAAUAAUUAUAGAUGGGCAGAAGUACAAGAUCUACAUGAUUUGUAUACCACAGAAAGAUUUAGAGGUUAUAUUGAGAAUGAAUUGGUUGUCUACUAAUCAUAUCCUUAUAUAUUAUGGUUAGAAGAAGUUAAUUUUCCCUAAAUUAGAAGAAAUGCAAGUUAUCUCUACUCAAUAGUUUGAGAGAGAUUCAAGAAGGUACAUAAUGUUUUGUGCUCUUAGCUUGUUCUAUAGUUAUUGAUAAAGUGCAAAAAUAUAUGUUUGUAGUUCAAGAGUUCAUGGAUGUAUUUUCUAAUGAGAUUCCCAGACUUCCACCUAAAAGAGAGAUAGAAUUUGCAAUAGACUUGAUUCCUGGAGCAGACCCUGUAUCAAUUACUCCAUACUGAAUGGCACCAUCGGGGUUAGCUAAAUUGAAGAAACAACUAUAAGACUUACUAGAGAAACAAUUCAUUCAACCUAGUGUUUCUCCAUGGGGAGCUCCUGUGUUAUUAGUGAAGAAGAAGGAUGGUUCAUCUCGUUUAUGCAUAGAUUAUAGAGAGUUGAACAAGUUAACAAUCAAGAAUAAAUAUCCUCUUCCUAGAAUUCAUGAUUUGAUGGACCAGUUGCAUGGGACAAUUGUCUUUUCUAAGAUAGAUUUGCGCUAAGGUUAUCACCAAAUUUUAGUGAAAGCGAAAGAUGUUCAGAAAACUGCUUUUAGAUCAAUGUAUGGUCACUAUGAAUUUCUGGUUAUGUCAUUUAGUGUGACCAAUUGAUACAACCCAACUAGACAAUGAGAUAACCAAGGACACAACAACCACUUCACAACUAAGUCCGUCAUCUCAGCAGAAGAAGAACUGAACAUAGACCAGAGUAUCAAAUGUUCUUUCUUCUGGUUUUUUAAAACACAAGUUUAUGUAAAUAAAUUGGGCUCACUUUGGAGGUCCAAAUAGAAGAAUAAGCUAGAGUAUGGUUGACUUAGCAUAAACUAGGUUGUACUUAGCAUAAUCUGGGCUUGUACCAAGCCCACCUUUCAUGACAAGUGCACCUAGGUUUAGGAUUUUUUGACCUACCUUCUAGAAGGUUUCUCAUAAAUGACACCCCUACCGCUUUCACUCUUGCUUCCCAAGUCACUCUCUCUUAUAUAAAGGGAACCUUGCCUCAUGUAAUUGAGACAUUUAAUUUUGAAUAGAAAAGAAACUCUACAUGAGUGUUUAGUGUGCUUGGUCUCCUAGGAAUUGGGUCUUAUCUUGGGUGUUUGUGCAUUUCAAGUGGCGGCUCUUCACCACUCAUCUUGGAGUCUCCUCCCCCUUUAAAUGACGUGAUUCCUUAUUCCAUAAGCAUAUCUUAAUAUCUUUACCCUUUUGUUUUUCUUUCCUUUCCUUAUGCCAUUCUUCCAUACUUUUAUUCAUUUAUAUUUAGCUAUCUUCAUCAUCUUAUGCUUAUUUUCAUGUCCUUUAUUUCCACACCUUCAUCAUCAUAAUCACCAUAUUUGUGUUUUUUCUUUUCCCUCUAGAAGUGAACCUUCACACUUACUUAACCACUUGGUUAAGUUUGUGUCCAGUGAGAAUCUUCUUUGGGUUUCUUACCAUAAUUGCUAAUGUCAAAACUCAAACAAAAGAGUAACCCAUAAAAUGGGCAAUCCUAAAAUCAACUCACAUCACCAAUGCUCCAACUAUCUUCAUGGAUUAUAUGAAUUGAAUAUUCAGACAUUUUCUUGAUAAGUUUGAGGUAGUGUCCAUAGAUGAUAUCUUUAUCUAUUCAGAGAUCCCCUAGCUUCACUAAUGAUCUAACUCGUAUAGACUAAGAUAUCAGGUGGUGAGAAGUUGAUGAAGGAGUUCAUACACAUUGGGUACCGCUGUAGAAACUCGGUAUUGGAUGUUUGAACUUAGCCUGAUCCUUGAUGUAUGAAUUAGAUGUUAGCCUCUGGUAGGGGCAUACUUAAUGAGUCUUCCAGAAGACGUUGCACUAUUGCAAAAAAGAUUUAUUUUGACACAACAUUUAAGGCGCUUUUACAGCCAGACGUGUCCCUCAAAAUGCGGUGGAAUUUUUUAGAUUAAAUUUCUCUAAAAGGACGACUAUUUGGUAAAGUCGCCUUCUUACAACAAAUCGCUUAGUGUAAGGAGGCUUUACCUCAUAGCUGCCUUCUUAUACCAAGCACUUUGUUGUAAGAAGUCAACUUUACUAAAUAGUCACCCUCUUAGACUCUUUUUAUUACCCUAGCUUAGAGCGUGCCAGUUACGCUUUCAUACUUCCUUUGUCUCCGACACUUCAUUUUCUCUUUUUCUCUGUGCUUCUUCUUCGUUUUCCUCGAGCCAUUGUCUUCUUCGUGCCAUUGUGUAAGUUUAUUUCGAGCUCUUUACUUUUUCUUUACCAUUGCUUUUUUUUUUCUUUCUCUUAUUUGUUUCUUUUCUACCAUUUCUGUGAAGGUCACCAUUCCUACUGUUUCAUUGCCUUUAAUGUUAGUCUUUCGGUUUUCACUAUGCCCCAUUUGCUCGAUCACCGUUGUCGCUGCUACCGUUGCCACCGCUCUUCACCUCCACCGAUGCCUUCACGCACAAGGUUGGUGGUGUUUUAAAUUUUUUUAAUGUUAUUAAUUUGUUUAUUUUUUAUUUAUUAUAAUUUUUAUUUUUUAAAAAUUUAAAUUAAUUUUGUUUUUAGGUUAGAAUAGAAUUAUUAAAUUAUUAGAUGGUAGAUAGAAUUAUUGUGUUGCUAUUGAGUCUAAGGGUGUUCGACCAUCAACAAUUCAUAUGUGUUGGUAUUGAUGGCGAGGAUGUUCGACCGUCGACAAUUGAUACGUGUUGGUAUUGAUGGCGAGGGUGUUCGACCCUAGAUAAUUGAUAUGUUUUGGUAUUGAGUCCGACAGUGUUUGAACUUGAAGCUUUAAUGUCUCCAAAUCCAUGAAGGUUGCUUGAAGACUAGGUUUUUUCUUGUGGGUAGAUUAGAAUUUGUCAAAACCACUCUUAGGUUAAUCCAAAACUAAAUCAAUCAAGCUCUUUAUAGAAAAGUGUUUUUCAAAGAAAGUGAUUUUUCAAUCGGUUGUUUUGCACUUGGUAGUUUUUGAAAGGAUUUGAAAAAGCUAAAAUUGCCUGACCUCAUAAUCAAAGCCAAUUGAAUCGAUUGAUUCACACUAUCAAUCAGUUAAUUUUUUGAAACCUUAACAAAAUUGGUUAAAUAUGUUAAAACUAUUUUUGCUUAUUUCAAAUCUGUUUUGGCCCUUGAUUGAUAGUCUGAAAGGACUAUUUUUGAGGCUAUAUAACUGGUUUUUGAAUCUCUAAUUAAUGAGAGAGAUCAUAUUACAAAAGUUCAAAAAGGUUUUCCAAGGAUUGCAAGAUUGCUUAAAGCUUUGCAUUGCUUAAGAGUGGAAUAGGAUCUACUGUAUUCAUUUUCGUAUCAGGUGUGAUCCUUCCUAUUCUUUGUUGUUUUUCAAUUCAUACUGUAAAAGUGUAAGAAACUGGUGUCUACAGUCAAAGGGUGUUUUGACCUGUAGUGGUUGUGUUUCAAAAAGGGUGAGUGUUCUUGAAGGGUUCAAAAUCACCUCUUUGGUGCUUGUGUUGUGUAAUCUAUAUUUGAUUGCUUAGUGAAAUACCCAGGAGUUUCUGGGGAUUGGAUGUAGCUCAGGUUAAGAGUGAACCAAUAUAACUCUUGUGUGUUAAAUCUCUUUAUCCCUAACUAUUUUUAAAACCGUUUAAUCUGUGAUCUUCCAAAGUGCUAAUAAAAAAGAAUUGAUUGAUUCGUAUAAAUAAUCGAUUGAUUUUCUAGAAUCAAAUUAAAACAACUUUGUUGUUUGGCUAAUCUGAUUGCUUCUUCUCUGAUUCUGCAUUAAUAUUCAUUCUUGUCCAGAAUAUUUGAAAAUCUUUCAUUAAACAAUUCAACCCCCCCUCCCCAUCUUGUUUAAGGCCCCUAAUUCUAACAUAAUGGAUGGACUGAUAAAAGCUUCACAAAAUUGCUUCAGUUGUUGAAGGAUAUGCUUCCAGAGGGAAACACUCUUCCUAAUCAUAAUUAUGAGAUAAAAAAGAUUCUUUGUCCAAUGGGUAUGAAGUAUAAAAAGAUACAUGCAUGUCCUACUGAUUAUAUAUUAUAUAGGAAAGAUUUUGAGUUGUUGAAAAGUAGUCAAAGGUGUGGGUUAUCACGUUAUAAGUUGACACAAAAAGAUGAUGAUACUAUUGAAGGGAUAGAAAAGCAUGGACCCCUAAUGAAGGUUAUGUGGUAUCUUCCCAUCAUUCCAAGGAUGAAACAUUUGUUUGCAAACCCAAAUGAUGCUAAUAAUCUUAGAUGACAUGCAGAUGAGAGGAAAUGUGAUGGCAUGUACUGACAACCAACAGAUUCUAUUCAAUGGAUGAAAUUUGAUGACGAGUUUCCAUAGUUUAGUAAAGAAUCAAGAAAUAUUCGACUUGGUUAGCUACAGACGGAAUGAAUCGAUUUGGUAAUAUGAGUACAAAUCACAUUUCAUGGCCUAUUUUACUAGUUAUUUACAACUUACCUCUUGGAUUGUGCAUGAAGCAAAAAUACAUGAUGUUGUCUAUGAUGAUAUCCGGUCCAAAACAGUCAAGAAAUGACAUAGAUGUUUAUCUACAUCCCCUAAUUGAAGAUUUGAAGUUGAUGUGGGAUCAGGGUGUUGAAGUAUUUGACGGAUUUGCUAAUGAAACUGUCAAAAUGCAUGCCAUGUUAUUUUGCACCAUCAAUGACUUUCCGACAUAUUGUAACUUAUCAAGGUAUGGUGUUAAGGGUCAUAAAACAUGUCCAGUAUGUGAAUAAGACAUUGCUUCUCAACAAUUGAAACAUGGAAGAAAGAUAGUAUAUCUUCGGCAUCGGAGGUUGAGAAAAACCUUUAAUGGACAUCAAGAGAUUAGUAGUCCACCAACUCCAUUAACUGAUGUUGAGGUUUAUGAAAAAGUAAAUAACAUAGACCACACCUUCGGUAAGUAAAAAAAAAGUCAUUUGUGACAAACAUAUGGAAGAAAAAUUAAUCUUCUUUGAUCUUUCGUACUGGUUGAGGUCAGAAGUCAGACAUUGUAUAGAUGUAAUGCAUGUUGAGAAGAAUGUGUGUGAUAGCUUAAUUGGUACACUUUUUAACAUUAACGGGAAGAUGAAGGAUGGUCUAAAUUCUCGUUUAGAUUUGAUUGAGAUGAACAUACGAGGCGAGUUGGCACCGAUAGAAAUGGGCAAGCAUACAUAUUUGCCCCCAGCCUGUUACACCAUGUCAAAAGAUGAAAAAAAUAAGUUUUUGUCAAUGUCUAAAGGGUGUGAAAGUGCCACAAGGACAUUCCUUAAACAUGAAGAGCCUAGUGUCAAUGUAAGAUUUGAAGUUAAUUGGGUUGAAGUCUCAUGAUUGUCACAUAUUUAUGCAACAAUUGUUGCGGUAGCUAUUUGUGGGAUCUUACAAAAAAUGUUAGACAUACCAUAACCCAUUUGUGCUCAUUCUUAUCUUCCAUCUGUUGUAAAGUCAUUGAUCCAUUAAAAUUAGAUGAAGUUGAAGAUGAAAUUGUUGUUAUCUUGUGUGAAUUGGAGAUGUUUUUUCCUCCAUCUUUUUUGAAAUCAUGAUUCAUCUAGUAGUGCAUCUGGUACGAGAGGUUAGAGUGUGUGGACGAAUGUACCUAAGAUGGAUGUAUCCUGUUGGGCGGUAUAUGAAAAUUUUGAAAGGUUAUGUGUAAAGACAUUAUCGUCCAGAAGCUUCAAUGAUUGAAAGUUACAUAGUUGAAGAAAGUAUUGAAUUUUAUUCAGGGUACAUGUCAAAAGCAAAUCCCUUAGGUCUUCCAGCUAACUCAUGGCACCACAGGCGGUCUACAAGUAAAUGUUUACGUGGUGUACAUGUGGUAAGAAAAUCUUGAUCAUAAAUCUUGAAAGCACAUUUGUAUAUAUUGAAUAACACAAAUGACGUUAUACCUUACAUAGAUGCUCAUAAAGCCAUUGUGAAGGAAAAUAACCCAAGACAACCAGAGAAAGAGGUCUUGAUGGAACAUAAUAGAACUUUCAUGCCUUGGUUUAAAGACGAGGUGUUAAAGGAUUCAACGACAUUGAAGACCUUGACCUGGUUGACUGCUGGAUUGAAGUUUGAUGUCAUUUGUUGUACAGGUUACAAAGUGAACAAUUGUAUAUUUUAUACGAAGUCUAUGGAUGAAAAGAGUACAUUUCAAAAUUUUGGUGUUACUCUUGAAGUCGAGUCAAUGCAGUUUUCCACUUUGAAAGAUACAAAUCCUGUACUUGGAUCAAUGACAUACUAUUGGAUUAUAGAAGAGAUAUGAGAGGUUGACUAUACUAAGUUUUUUGUUUCAGUUUUCAGGUGUAAAUGGGUUGACAAUAAAAGUGGGGUUAAAAUUAAUGAAUCAGGAUUCACACUAGUGGACUUUUGAAAGUUAUGGUAUCAAGAUGAGCCAUUUAUAAUGGUUCAACAAGCAUCUCAGGUUUUCUACGUCAAAGAUCCUAUGUUAGAACAUUGGUAUGUGAUUUUACACGGGAAAAAAAUAAGGGGAGGCCAUAGAUGAUAUUGAAAAUGGUGACCCCCGUUCAUUCACACCAAUGAUAAUGAAUAAAGAUGACGAUAUAGUUGAUGAUGUACAUGCAAAUCGUAAAGACCACAGUGAAGGAAUUUACAUAUGAACAUUCAACCCACUAUGGUAAUAAAUUUAGAAAUAUUUUUUAUAAUACGAAUUUAGAAUUUGAUGUAUUUGUUUUAUAUGAUUUUCUUUCGAUGCAAUGUAACUAAUGUUUGUUACCUAUUUUUUUAACCCAAAAAUGGAUGACGACCAAACUCCGAUCAAACCCUGAUCCAGACGAGCCAGUAGAGGACCUACUAGGUUGAAGCGUCUCUUAUUGAGACGUGUUGUUGAUGAGAAGACACUUGUUGACAUUGACAUCAACACUGGAGUGGCUUCUGGUCCUAAUGCUGAGACUUUUACCAACUAUCUUGAAGUUGUUUCUCGUGAGAGGCUCUCCAUUUUGAUUAAUUCAUGGGAUGAUGUGUCAGAGGUCGAUCGGAACAUGCUUUGGGAGGAUGUUCUGGUAAGCUUUACAUUAUUAUUAUUAUUAUCAUAUAAUGCUUUUUAAUAUUCACUGAUCAAUUUUAAUUUGAUAAUAUUAUUUUUGCAGACACAUUUUGAAAUCCCUAAUGUGGAACCGCUUCGAUCAAAUAUCAUAUCCAAUAUCAAAAUUAAAUUAUGUUAGUUUAAGUCAACAAUGAAGACGAAAUAUAGUUUUGGUAAGUAUAAAGCCAAAAAUCCUUGUUUAAAGUACAAACAUAUUGAUGAAGUGACAUAGCGUCUUUUUGUUCAAACCCGUGAAUGUGAAGCAUGGAUGGUAAAUGAAGUUACUUAACUAUUUUUAUUUAUAUAACAUUAAUAAUUUAAUAUUAUUUAAUUCACUUUGUUUAUUUCAUUUAUGACAUGAUCGUCGGAAGAAAGCUCAAGAAUAGCAUUAAAGAAUGUUACCCCGCACGUAUUGUCUCGUCUGGGGUAUCGAAAGAUUGAGUAAUCACUUAUGAUGGAAAAGGAGCAAUCCAGACAGGGGACUGGGUCUGACACUGAUAUAGGGGUUACUUCUCUCCAUCACUACCUUCCUACAACGAAAAAUGGAAGAUUGCCCGAAUUAAAAAGUCAGGUGCAUUUAGUUCUGACCAAUCACAAAUAGUCUGAGAAAAAAUUGUAAGUUAUUUUUAUCCUAUUUUGAAUUUAUUUUAAAGCAUUAAUUAUAGUAAAACUUAUAUGAUUUUGGUCUCUUGCAGAAUUCCUUGGUUGAGCAAAGCUCUCAAGGUAAUUUUGUACCUGAAGGUCAUCACGAUAUCCUGGUUGAAGCAAUUGGACAACCUGAACACUAUGGUUGUGUUCGUGCAGAUGGAAAAGGGAUUGGAAUUAAACUAUAUUUUGGAGCUACACCACGACACUCAUCCUCCUCUUAUGUGAGUUGAUUUUAAAUGUUUUCAUUUAUGGUGAAACUUUUACUUAAGAUUAAGAUUUUUAACAAUUAAUGGUGAGGACUUAAGGAAGAUUCCCACUGGACACGAACUUAACCAAGUGGUUAAGUAAGUGUGAAGGUUCACUUCAUAGAGGCAAAAAUGAAAAAAAAAAAGAUUUGGUGAGGAUGAGAUGCAAUUGCAGAAUUGAAAAUGGGCACAAGAUAAACAUCAAAGGUGGUCAUGGUGAUGAAGACCAAGGAGAACAGACACUUGAAGGCCAAGAUCAACAAAAUCAAGCCCAAUUUAAGGUCCAAACCCAUCCUAUGAGUACUUCAUCUAUUAUGCCUCAAAGAAUUACAAGAAGCAAGGCACAAGCUUUAGGUGAUGGACAUCAAUUAAUGUCUCAUUUUGUAAUAUCUUUAGAAUAGUUUCAAGAUAGAACAUUAAAAGGGAAGUAGUAGGAAAAGUCACUUUUUUCUAGAAUAGGAAGUGACUUGAAAGGGGCGGCAUUUGCAAUGCCUUUUCAUGUACCUUGCCUCUUCAUUUGCAAUGCUUCUUCAUGUAUCUUACCCAUUCAUGACCGAUCCUCUAUUCCUAUAUAGAGAGGAGCUAGAAUUUUUGUAAAGAGAAAUUGAUAUUGAAAUUGAAAGCGUUACUCUCCUCAAAAUUGAGUGGGUUCUUUGUGAGACUUCUUCUCCUUCUUCUAGUCUUAUCUUGUGGGUUUUGGGAGCUCUCAAGUGGUGGAAUUCUUCACUCAUCUUGAAGCCAUUCAUCCUUCAAGUGGCGUGACCAUUCCUGAUGUGAGUCGAUUAAGAGAUGAAGAAUUAAUAGAAACUUUCAAGAAUUGGAUCAAGAUUCUAAAAGCAAUUCAAGAACACAAAUCAAGAAACCCAUUAGAAACCCAUUUCAAGAACACAAAUCAAGAAAACCAUGGGAAACCCAUUUCAAGAACAUGAACCGAAUAGAACAUCAACAAGUAAUUCCAACCGAUUAAAACAAGAACCAAUGAAAAAAUAUUGAUUAGAAACAUUCAAUAACAACAUUUGACCGAUUGAAAAUCAAGAAAAAGAAACAAAAACAUGUUUUAGAGUUUUUGAUAUAGAAUGGGUAUGGAAGAAGAAUAUGAAGAGUUGAAGAAACUUAUGUGGUUGAAGACAAUGGGAGUGAUCACGCCACUUGGAUGGUGGAAGGCUCCAAGAUGACUGGGAGUGCCGCCACUUGAGGAUUCUAGAGACCCACAAGAUAAGACAAAGAGAAGGAGAGCAAGUCUCACAAAGAAACCACUCAAAUUCUAGAGAGUAACCUCACUUUCAAUUUCAAUAUUCAACUUAUGUUUACAAAAGCAAGACUCCUUUUUAUAUAGGCAUAGAGGAUCGGUCAUGAAAAGGUAAAAAUACAUGAAGAGUCACUUGUAAAUGAAAAGGCAAGGCAUAUGAAAAGACAAGGUAAAUGCCACCCCUUUUCAAGUCACUUCCUUAUUAUAGAAAAGUGACUUUUCCUACUAAUUCCCUUUUAAUGUUCUAUCUUGAAACUAUUCUAAAAAUAUUACAAAAGAUAUUAACUGAUUCAGACCUCAUCUUUUGAGAAAACUAAUAAGUAGAACUUCAAAUGCUUUGGGCUUUGUCCAUUUCUCCUAUUAAUGAGGUCUUUAUUUGUAGUUGAGAUGACCCUUCAAGGGUAGCAUCCUUGGUCAUCUUUAUGUAUUUUUGGAUCACAUCAUGCCCUCCAAGUUGGAGAAAAUUCGACCACGAAUUUAGUACUCCUGCAUAAGGCAAAGUCAGAUUGCAAUUAGAUAAGAGAAUGCACGAAGAGAUAGGAAAACUUGACUUAGCAUUUUGAAACAUUGGGAGUUCAUAAAAAGAUAUCCUAAAAACAGACCAUGUUGGAAAAAAUUGUUUGGGAAUGAUGAUAUUCUUUGGAAAAAAUCCUCUUAAAAGGUGAAAACCAUUAGGAGGUAUGUAAAAAUCAUCCUUAACAUUCUUUAUCCAAUAUGGUGUGGUAGUAGGAACUUUGGGAAAUUAAAAAGAUAAAGAAGAAGAAUACCUUGGAGGUUCAACUUGAGGCAUAGCACGAGUCAACAUUAGUGAUUUAGUUGAUAAAGUAUUGUGACUCGGUUUAUCAUUUCUUUUUUUUGCUUUCUCAUUAUCUCUUUUAGUUUUCAUUUUUAUUUGGUCCUCAUGAACCUCGUGGGGAGAGAGGGGUUUUAAGGUAACCUUGCACCCUUGGAAGGAAAAAGACUUGGUGUUGGAUAGGCCAUCAUGUAAAACAUGUCUAUCAUAUUGCCAAGGACUUCCUAAAAGAACAUGAGUUGCUUCCAUGGGCACAACAUCACAUAAAACCUCAUCUUUAUACUUUCCUAUUAAAAAGUUUAUGAGGACUUGUUUGUUAACAAUGAUCUCACCUAUCUCACUUAACCAUUGUAAUUUGUAGGGCUUUGUAUGAGAGAUAGUAGACAAUCCAAGCUUAUCUACCACUCUUGUACUAGCCACUUUAGCUCAACUACCCCCAUCCACAAUUAAAGAACAUAACUUGUUACUAAUGAGACAUCUUGUAUGAAAAAUAUUUUCUCUUUGACUUUCAUCAAAGGUUUUUAAAACUUGACCAAGCAUACGUCUCACUACUAGCAAGUCACCUUCAAGUGGACUUUCACUCUCAUUCUCACUUGGGGAUCUAGAAGGUGAGGAAUGUCUAGAGGUUUCAGAAUCAUGCUCACUAACCACUACCCCAUCAUGUAUAAACAUAUUUCUCUUUGAAGGGCAAUUAACAACUAUAUGACUAUAUUCUAAGCAUUUAAAACAUUUCUUACUAGACGAUUUUGUUGGUGACUUAUGAGUAGAAGUUGAAGGCUUAGAAUCUCUAGUUUUGAAAGAUGAUUAUUUAGGAGGAUACUUUGAAGAAGAUUUGAUUUUAUUCUUCCAAGAGUUGUUGUAGUAUUCAUCAUUAUGAGUGUUUUUGAAAGCAUUUUUCAUUGAAAUUUGAGAUUCAACCUUGAUGGCAAGGUGAACCAAAUUUUGUAAAGAUGAAUACUCAUAAAGUUCCACAACAUCUUGAAUAUCCCUCCUAAAAUCACUAACAAAUCUAGCCAUUUUAGCUUCCUCAUUUUCAUGCAUAUCUAUUUUAAUUAAAAGUGUUUCUAGCUCCUUGAAAUAAGCAUCCACACUUAGUGUGCCUUUGUGAAGUCGUUGGAGCUUCAACAAUAGGUCUUUCCUAAAGUGUGGUGGAACAAAUAUAUCGUGCAUACACUCUUUUAAAUCGUUCCAAGAAACCACAGGAGGUCUCUUGUUUAGUCCAAUGUCCAUAAGAGUCUUAUUCCACCAUUGCAUGGCAUAGUCUAAAAAUUCUAAAGAAGCUAGUCUAACCCUUUGGGCUUCUAGGACCUCAUGUACAUGAAAAAUUUGCACAACCUUUGCCUCCCAACCCAAAUAUACAUUAGGAUCACCAUCUCCACUAAAACUAGGUAAUUUUACAAAUGGAAAAUAAGGCUUUGCCACAUUUUGGCACCUAUCUUCGUGAUGAUGAUGAUGCCUCCUCCAUCCAUUUUCUUCUUCAUGGUCGUGAGAAUUGAAAGAACUUCUUGAAGAAUGUCUAUGAGAAUGACGGCUUCCAUGGUUGGAAUGGUUGGAUCUAUCAUGAGUCACUUCAAGUCUUUGUAAUCUUUCCUCCAAUUGUUUUAUGGCUUCAAAUUUUUGUGCAAGGGAGCAUUUUGAUUCCUUCAAUUCACCAAGGAUAAAUGCACUUUGUGGAGAAUGUGGCUUGGAAGAUUCACCACUUCAAUAAGUAGCCAUUUCAAAAAAAAAAAAAGACAGCAAACACAAUGAACAAACAAUUAAAGAAAACAAGGUUAGAAAACUAGAACAAGUAGUGUUGCGGUAAUGUCAAAUUAAAGGCACUCAAACCACUCCAAGAAAAUGAGUCUUUCCUCAACCAAGCUUCUCUUGGGGUUUGGGUAAUUCUCAAAUGAAAGAUGUCAAAGCAACCCACUCUUUCUCAAGGCCAAAACACCACAAAACUUUAAGGAACAAUAAAAGACAAUCAAGAAAAGGUGUAAACAAGAAAAGGCUAUAGCAAAAGGAAUACAAGAUAUAUGACAAACUCAAAGAAUAUUGAAUGAAAAGACAAUCAAGAAAAUAAUUUACUCAAUUAAAAGAUAGCACACAAAAGGAACCUAGAGAAAAACACUAGAAUAGGAUGAAGAAAACCAAAAAACUACUGGAAAUUUGUAUAAAAUGUGCGUGACUUUACAGAUUUAUGGUAAACUGGAUAAUGCAAAUUAGAAGUUGAAAUUUAAACCACAGAAAUUUUAAGAUCUUAUCUCAAAUUUUGCACUGGAAUUACACCAAAACAGUGUGCCAAUUAAUUGUGAUAAAUUUUUCAAAAUCACUGCCGCAUCACCGUUUUUCCAAAGUCAUAAUUUUACAGUCUGUACUUAUUUCAUUUAUCAUUUUUUGUAUUUUGAUUUUUGCUAUACUUCUUUUUUUCACUCUUUUGUAACACUUCAAACUACUUAAAUCCAGAGUUUCAGAAUUUUUUGCCAACAAAAUAAAUUUACAUAAACCAUUUUAGUCAGCACAGAUUCAGGAAAAACAGAGGAAAUCUAUUCUGGAAUUAAAAACAGUAUUGAGAACUUCAAAAGACACAAUAGAAUUGAUGUUUAUGAACUUGUAUGGAUCUAACACACAAGUAUGAACUCAAAUCUAAAAAGAAAAAUGCACAAAAGGAUCAAAAACAGAAAUAUAAAACUGCACUCAAAUAAAAUCAAUCAACCAAAAUUAUCAAGAAAAGCACUACAUAGAAUUGAUGACAUUUUGGGAGAAACAUGACUUGACAAAACUUAUGUGGAUUAAAAAAUCAAAAUGACUCAAACACAAUUAAUUUUUACCAAUUAAAAACAGCAAGAAAGACUCAAAUAUAGUAAAAACAGAACAGCACACACCAAAAAGGAACAUAAAAAAAAUUCUACACAAAAUAAGGUGCCGGAAAAACAAAUUGCUUGAAUUAAAAGUGUCAAAUCAACUAAAAAACAAGAACAAACCCAUGGCUCAUGAUACCACAUGAUGUGAGUUGAUUAAGAGAUGAAGCAUUAAUAGACACUUUCAAGAAUUGGAUCAAGAUUCUACAAGCAAUUUAAGAAACCCAUUUCAAGAACACAAAUCAAGAAACCCUUGGGAAACCCAUUUCAAGAACAUGAACCGAAUAGAACAUCAACAAGUAAUUCCAACCGAUUAAAACAAGAACCAAUGACAAACUAUUGAUUAGAAACAUUCAAUAGCAAUAUUUGACUGAUUGAAAAUCAAGAAAAAGAAAUAAAACAUGUUUUAGAGUUUUUAAUAUAGAAUGGGUAUGGAAGAAGAAGAUGAAGAGUUAAAGAAACUUAUGUUGUUGAAGCCAAUGUGAGUGAUCACGCCACUUGGAUGGUGGAAGGCUCCAAUAUGAGUGGGAGUUCCACCACUUGAGGAUUCCCAAGACCCACAAGAUAAGACAAAGAGAAAGAGAGCAAGUGUCACAAAGAAACCACUCAAAUUCUAGAGAGUAACCUCACUUUCAAUUUCAAUAUUCAACUUAUGUUUACAAAAGCAAGGCUCCUCUUUAUAUAGGCAUAGAGGACCGGUCAUGAAAAGGUAAAAAUACAUGAAGAGUCACUUGUAAAUGAAAAAGCAAGGCAUAUGAAAAGACAAGGUAAAUGCCACCCCUUUUCAAGUCACUUCCUUAUUCUAGAAAAGUGACUUUUCCUACUACUUCCCUUUUAAUGUUCUAUCUUGAAACUAUUCUAAAAAUAUUACAAAAGAUCUUAAUUGGCUUUGACCUCAUCUUUUGAGAAGACUAAUAAGAAGAACUUCAAAUGCUUUGGGCUUUGUCCAUUUCUCUUAUUAAUGAGGUCUUUAUUUGCUUUUUGAGACGACCCUUCAAGUGUAGCAUCCUUGGUCAUAUUUAUGUAUUUUUGGAUCACAGCAAUUCCCAUGUCUACAACCACAUAAGUUUCUCCUUUCAUCUUCUUCUCCCAUUUCCAUGUCAUAUCAAAACUCUAAAACAUGUUGUUUCUUGUUCUUGAUUUUCAAUCGGUCAAUGUUAUUAUUGAAUGUUUUAAUUCGGUAGUUUGUUAUUAAUAUUCAUUUUAAUUGUAAAAAAUGUGUUGUUCUUCCAUUUAAUCGGUUCAUUUACCUUUGUUAGUCAUUCUAUUCGGUUCAUUUUCAUGUUGAUAGGUUUCUAUCAGUGUCAAUUCAGUUUUCUUGUUUUGGCUUGUGUUCUUGAAUUGAUUGUAGAAUCUUGAUCCUAAUUUUUGAAAGUGUCAUAUUAUGGGUUUUUCUCUAAUCAACUCACAUCAUGUAGUAUCAUGAGCCAGGGGUUUGUUCUUGUUUUUAGUUGAUUUGACACUUUUAAUUCAAGUAUUUUUACAUUCUUGUUCUUUAAAUUCAAGUUUCUUUAAUUUAUUGUCAUUACAUUCUUGUUUUUAAUUUUCCAGCACCUUUAAUUCUUGUGCAGAAUUUUUGUUUCCUUGUUAUAUUCAUUGCAUUUUUCGUUUUGAAUAUGUUUCUUGUUGUGCCUUUUCAUUAAUCUUGCUUUUACUUUAUGGCAUAUGUUUUUUAGUGUUCUGGGUGUUCUUAUUUUGAUUCUUCUUACUUACUUUUAAUUGUGACUCUUCCAAUUUUAUUAGAACUGUGUUUUAGUAAAAGUUGAUGUUAAGUUCCAAACAUAUGAUUGCAAGUGUUUAUUUGUAUUGAAUCCACCAAAAUUUUUGUUGUGAAAUUGAAUGUUCUUGAAACUUUGUUUGAUGCAAUUAGGAUAAAGAAAAAAAAAACAGCAUGGGUUUUGUAUUAUAAUACCCAAAACAGUACCUAAUUAACAUCAAAACAGUGAGUAUUUGUUUCCAAAACAGUGAGCAAUUGUUUCUAAAGGCAUCUUUGAUGGCUUUGAGUUCUUCAUCUUGCGGUUUUUGUGGUGGAAUUGGCGGAAGCAUCCAUGAAUUGUGGUGGACAAGGCUCUCCUAGGAGUUGUGGUAGCCUUGGAGGUGCAUGAGAAGUGUGAAAGUGAGAGAGGUGAGGCCUACUCUCUUUGAGGUUGCGGUUUUGGAAGAUUAAAAGACCUAAAUCCUAAGAGAGUUUAGGCAAGGAGUAAGAAUGACACAUUUUGGCAGCAUUUCAUUACUCAAAUUAAUCUUACAAUUUCAACACCCAAGCUCUCCUUAUAUAGGACUAGGAGGCCGGAAAUGAAGUGCCAAAUGAAAGGCAAAUGUGCACAAAAUGAAAUGAAGUUGGCGCCUAAAUGAGAGCACACAUGACAAGCGUGACAUGGUGUGUCUCUUAGGUUGCCUAAAGGCCUAAAGUGACCGACCUAAGUUAGCUUAGUAGGUUCUAGAAACCCUAAUCUAACUUAUGUUGGUUUUUAGGAGCCAAUUUUAAACAAUUUAAACAAUUUUACAAAAGAAAAUUCCUAUACUACUUUGACAAGAAUUUAAAGGCUAUGCUACGCUUGAUUUUGGACCUCUUGGAACAUGUAGAGGUAAGUUUCUCUGCCAUCAGUGGCAGUGUCCCAAUCUUUAUCAAGUCUCUUAGCCAUUGCCCUUGUAGUGGGCCCAAUAUGUCUUUGUGUUUGGCUAUCCUUUGAAGUGGUGUUUGGCCCUCUUCCAUCAAUCUUGCUUGUUAAUUGGUUUAGAAAUUCAUUUUUCACACUUUUGGAUACAAAUUGUUUUCUACUUUGUGGAAUUUUGUAUCCUUUUGCUUGAACAAUUUUCUAGUUCAAAAGUGUCAUAGUUAAAGGUUUAGUAAGGUUCUUUGAGUCUUCUUUUGUGCUUUUCUUGAUUGUCUUCUAUUUCUAAGUUUUGUCACAUUUCUUUUGUCACUUUGGUUUAGCCUUUCUUGUUUUACACUUUUGUUGUUUGUCUUUUCUUCUUUCUUAAAGUUUUGUGGUGAUUAUUUGGCUUUGAGCAAGUGUGGUUUGCUUUGGCAUCUUUCACUUGAGAUUUACCCAAUCCACAAGGAGACUUUGAUUAAGGAAAGUAAAAUUUUCUUGGAGUUGUUUAGUCUUUUCUUCUUUGGCCGUGAGCAAUUUUACCAUAUAACUUGUUUUCUUAUAAUUGUUUGUUCUUUGUGUUUUGUGUUUGCUUGAUAAUAUGGAUCAUCUUUCUAGUGGUGAAUCUUCUAAACAACAUUCUCCUCAAAAAGCUUUCCUAAUUGGAGAAUUGAAGGAAGCUAAAAAGACAAUUGCACAAAAGGAGGAAGAAAUGAGACAAUUAGAGGAAAGACUCCAAAGAUUGGAAAUGUGCCAUGAAAGGUCUCCAAGACAAAGAAGACACCAUCAUAGAUAUGAAUCAAGAAGUUCUCAAAAUUAUGGUGGCUAUGAUGAAGAAACCGAAAGGAGGAGGCACCAACAUUAUGAAGAUAGGCGCCAAAAUGUGGCAAAGCCUUAUUUUCCACCAUUUGUAAAAUUACCUAGUUUUAGUGGAGAUGGUGAUCCUAAUGUGUAUUUAGGUUGGGAGGCUAAAGUAGAACAAAUUUUUAAUGUACAUGAGGUCCAAAAUGACCAAAAAGAUAGAUUAGCCUCCUUAGAAUUUAUGGACUAUGCCAUGCAAUGGUGGCACAAAACUCUCAUGGACAUUGGUUUAAACAAGAGACUGUUGAACCAAGUGUGUUCAAGCUUUGAAGAAUCCAAACCCUUUGAAGGAUGAUGAAAGGCAGGAUGUGCUUGUUGUUGCUGAGCUGUUGUUAGAUAGGAUCUGGGGUAGAUUAAUUGUAUAUAUCCACUAUUGAUUGAAUCCAAAGCAUAAGCAUUCUCAAACCUUUUAAUUGAAAAGUGUUUUUCAAACUAAGUGAAAAACAACCUGUUGUUUUGUCGAAACAACCUGUUGUUUUGUCGAAACAACCGAUUGUUUUAUACUUAGGUGUUUUUAGAAAGGUUGAAAACUGUUUUUGAUGGUUGACUUGCUAUUAAACCAAAACAACCGAUUGAUUCGUGGAAACAACCGAUUGUUUGUUUUGGGACCAUAACAAAAAACUGUUUUGUGCUUUCACUGAGCAUUAAAUGUUUUUACAACUGUUUACGCUCCAGUUUUUAAUGCUUUGACCAAUCUUUAAAUGCAAUUAAUAGUUUGUUAAGAUUAUGCAACAAACAACUUUGUUUUAAUACAGAAAAAUAGAUUUGAGUUUUUCAACACUUUUGAGUUUUUNNNNNNNNNNNNNNNNNNNNNNNNNNNNNNNNNNNNNNNNNNNNNNNNNNNNNNNNNNNNNNNNNNNNNNNNNNNNNNNNNNNNNNNNNNNNNNNNNNNNCAUUGAUCAAAGAGUGUGAGAUAGGAUUUUCAUCUUGUAUUGAUUUCAGAUCUUUUCUGUAACAAGUGUAAUCCUUUUUACUUUGAAUGAAACUCUGUGUGUAUAGCUGAGAAGUCUUGUGUGUUCUUGAGGGGAUCAAGAUCAACAUUCUUAGUGGUGUUGUGCUGGACCAAAGGAAGUGUGUGUCUUGAGGGGAUCAAGGUCACUUCUUUGGUUGUGUUGUAAGUGAUCUAGGGUUGAUUUCUUAGUGGAUUCCCCAGUGGUUUCUGGGAAGACUGGAUGUAGCUCUGGGUUAAGAGUGAACCAGUAUAAACCUCUGUGUGGAUUCUCUCAAUCCUUUAACUCUUUAAAUUCAGUUUCUAUAUUUGUAAACUGCUAUAAACAACUGAUUGUUUCUGCGAAACAACCGAUUGUUUUUCUGGUGUUGUGCUUAUUUGCUUUGUAUUUUGGCAAACUGAAUUCUGAUUCAAGUGUUUUUCAAAGUAAUUUCAUUCUUGGCUUAAAAGUCUGCGAAAACCCUCUUUAAACCAUUCACCCCCCCCCCUAGUUUAAAGUCAUACUUUCUAACAGAGACAACCCGUGGUCUCUUGGGAGGAUUUUUAACAAUGCAUGCACGCUAGAUUUGUGCCUCCACAUUAUAGGAAAGACCUUUUGUUGAAACUCCAAAGGUUUCAUCAAGGCACACUUAGUGUGGAUGCUUAUUUUAAAGAGCUUGAAAUGAUGCUUAUUAAGAUUGACAUGCAUGAAAGUGAAGAGUCAAAGAUGGCUAGAUUUGUAAGUGGAUUAAAGAGGGAUAUCCAAGAUGUGGUAAAAUUACGUGAAUAUUCUUCUUUAGAAAAUUUGGUUCACCUUGCCAUCAAGGUAGAAUCCCAACUUUCAAAGAAAGCUUAUUUUCAAAAAUCUCACAAUGAUGGCUUUUACCUCUUCUUGGAAAAACAAAAACAAAUCUUCUUCAACUUUUCCUUCAAAUUUUAAAGAGUCCACUUACAGAGCUAGAGAGUCUAAACCUUCACCUUCGACUCCUAAAUCUCCAUCUAAGACUUCAAAUAGAAAAUGCUUUAAAUGUUUAGGCUAUGGUCACAUUGCAUCUAAUUGUCCUUCUAAGCGUAACAUGAUGGUACAUGAAGGGGUAGUUGUUAGUGAUCAUAGUUCCCAACACUCUAGGUCUCCCAAUACCUCUAGAUCCUCUAGUGAAAAUGAGAGUGAAACACCUUGUAAAGGCGAUUUAUUAGUGGUGAGACGUAUGUUAGGCCAAGUUUUGAAACCCUUUGAUGAAAGUCAAAGAGAAAAUAUUUUUCAUACUAGAUGUUUCAUCAAUGAUAAGUUGUGUUCUCUAAUAGUGGAUGAGGGUAGUUGUGCCAAUGUGGCUAGCACAAUAGUAGUAGAUAAAUUUGGCUUGUCUACUAUCUCUCAUGCCAAGCCCUAUAAGCUUCAAUGGCUAAGUGAAGAAGGGGAGAUUAUAGUGAACAAACAAGUCCUCAUAGCCUUUUCCAUUGGAAAAUAUAAGGACGAGGUAUUAUGUGAUGUUGUACCUAUGGAAGCCACACAUGUGCUUUUAGGUAGGCCAUGGCAAUUUGAUAUAAAAACAAUUCAUGAUGGCCUUACCAAAAAAAUUACUUUCAACUUCCAUGGACAUAAGGUCACAUUAAAAUCUCAUUCACCAAAGGAAGUCCAUGAGGACCAAAUUAAGAUGAAAGAAAAGAUAGAGAUCGAAAAAGCAAAAACAAAGAGAAACCUUCUCAUUUCCCACCAAGAGGUCAAAAAGGUAAUGUUUUCCUAAAAGAAUAUGUUUAUAGCAAUUCUUAGGACUCUUGCGAAUGAGAGAGUUAGAUAGUCCUCAUAGUUUGGAAAAUUUGGUAAAGGAAUUUAAUGAUGUUUUUCAAGACCCCCCCAAAGGGAUUACCUCCUCUAAGGGGCAUUGAGCACCAAAUUGAUUUUAUACUUGGUGCUUCUUUACCAAAUAGGCCUGCCUAUAGUACCAAGCCAACUAAGACAAAAGAAAUUCAACAACAAGUUGAGGGUUUAAUAGCUAAGGGGUGGGUACAAGAUAGCAUGAGCCCAUGUGCUAUGCCUGUAAUCCUUGUCCCUAAAAAGGAUGGGACAUGGAGGAUGUGUACGGAUUGUCACGCUAUAAAUAACAUAACCAUCAAGUAUAGGCAUUACAUCCCAAGAUUAGAUGACUUGUUGGAUGAAUUGCAUGGGUAUAAAAUAUUUUCCAAAAUUGAUCUUAAGAGUGGUUACAAUCAAAUUCGUAUUAAACCAGAGGAUGAAUGGAAAACCGCUUUUAAGACCAAAUUUGGUUUAUAUGAGUGGUUGGUCAUGCCUUUUGGCUUGACUAAUGCUCCUAGUACUUUCAUGCGACUCAUGCACCAUGUUCUUAGACCUUUCAUUGGCAAGUUUGUAGUAGUUUAUUUUGAUGACAUACUUAUUUAUAGUUUGUCUUUAGAAGAUCAUGAGUCACAUGUUAGGCAAGUUUUAGAAACUCUUAGGAAGGAAAGUUUGUAUGCUAAUCAUGCUAAGUGUAUGUUUGCACUAGAUCAUAUAGACUUCCUAGGGUUUGUGGUAAGUUCAAAAGGGGUGCAUGUAGACAAAGAGAAGGUUGUAGCAAUUCAACAUUGGCCAACACCCACCAAUGUUAAUGAGGUACGAAGUUUUCAUGGCCUUGCUAGUUUUUAUAGGAGGUUUGUGCAAAACUUUAGUACCAUUGUCGCACCUCUAAAUGCUAUAAUAAAGAAGGAUGUAGUAUUCAAGUGGGGACAAUACCAAAUUAAAAAAUUUGAAACUUUAAAGGAAAAAUUGACUCAUGCCCCCAUUUUAGCUCUUCCUAACUUUACUAAAACAUUUGAAAUAGAAUGUGAUGCUUCCAACGUAGGCAUUAGGGUUGUUCUCCUUCAAGAGAGCCACCCCAUAGCUUAUUUUAGUGAAAAACUCAGGGGGAGUCAUCUUAACUACUCAACCUAUGAUAAGGAACUUUAUGCUCUUGUAAGAGCCUUGCAAAAUUGGAAACAUUAUCUUUUUCCAAAAGAAUUUGUGAUACACGGUGAUCAUGAAUCUCUUUAAAUAUCUGAAAAGACAAAGCAAGCUUAACAAGAGACAUGCCAAGUGGGUGUUGUUUCUUGAGAAAUUUCCUUAUGUGAUCAAACAUAAGCAAGGAAAAUUAAUGUGGUUGUCGAUGCACUCUCUAGACGCUAUGCCUUGUUAAAUGUUUUGGAUGUUCAAUACUUAGGUUUGGAUCACAUAAAGGAACUUUAUAUAGAUGACCUUGAUUUUUCUCUUAUCUAUCAAGAGUGUUUCAAAGGAGCACACAAAUAAUUUUUCAUACAUAAUGGUUUUCUUUUCAAAGGAAAAAAACUUUGUGUUCCCCAAGAAUCUUUAAGACAAUCUCUUGUUAGGGAAGCACAUGCGGGUGGGCUCAUGGGACACUUUGGGGUAGCUAAAGUUUUAGAUACAUUGGAACUAAACUCUUGUUUUCUACUACUUGCCACCCCCAAACUGAUGGUCAAACUGAGGUGGUUAAUAGAACUUUGGGUCAAAUGUUAAGAUGCCUUAUUUCCGGGAAUCCAAGGGUAUGGGCAAAUUUACUACCUCAUAUUGAAUUUGCCUAUAAUAGAGUAGUAAAUUCGACCACUUCCCACACUCCUUUUGAGGUUGUUUAUGGGUUUAAUCCCCUCACACCUCUUGAUCUUCUUCCAAUUCCUGUGCUUGAUGAGGUGUUAUGCAAGGACGAUUUUGAAAAGGUUGCUUUUAUUAACGACUUGCACCAUCACAUCAAUUUGCAAAAUGAAAGAAAGGUCGGCAAGUAUGCUGAACUUGCCAACAAAAGGAGAAAGGCAUUAAUCUUUGAACCCGGGGAUUGGGUUUGGCUACACUUGAGGAAGGAUAGAUUUCCUACUUAAAGGAUCAAAGCUUAUGCCACGUGGUGAUGGCCCUUUUCAAGUCAUCAAAAAGAUUAAUGAUAAUGCCUAUGAGUUAGAUAUGCCUGAUACCUUGGUAGUCAUUCAUUUAAUAUCAAUGAUCUAACUCCUUUUUCUACAGGUCUUCAAAAUUCGUGGACGAAUUCUCUCUCACCCGAGGAGCAUGAUGUAGACCAAGGAGAAAAGACACUUGAAGGCCAAGAUCAACAAACUCAAGCCCAAUUUAAGGCCCAAACCCAUCCUAUGAGUACUUCAUCUAUUAUGCCUUAAAGAAUUACAAGAAGCAGGAACAAGCUUUAGGUGAUGGACAUAAAUUAAUGUCUCCUUUUGUAAUAUCCUUACAAUAGUUUCAAGAUAGAACAUUAAAAGGGAAGUAGUAGGAAAAGUCACUUUUUCUAGAAUAGGAAGUGACUUGAAAGGGGCGGCGUUUGCAAUGCCUUUUCAUGUACCUUGCCUCUUCAUUUGGAAUGCCUCUUCAUGUAUCUUACCCAUUCAUGACCGGUCCUCUAUUCCUAUAUAAAGAGGAGCUUGGAUUUUUGUAAAGAGACAUUGAUGUUGAAAUUGAAAGAGUUACUCUCCUCAAAAUUGAGUGGGUUCUUUGUGAGACUUCUUCUCCUUCUUCUAGUCUUAUCAUGUGGGUUUUGGGAGCUCUCAAGUAGCGGCAUUCAUCACUCAUCUUGAAACCAUUCAUCCUUCAAGUGGCGUGACCAUUCCCAUGUCUACAACCACAUAAUUUUCUCCUUUCAUUUUCUUCUUCCAUUUCCAUGUCAUAUCAAAACUCUAAAACAUGUGUUGUUUCUUGUUCUUGAUUUUCAAUCGGUCAAUGUUGCUAUUGAAUGUUUUAAUUCGGUAGUUUGUUGUUAAUCUUCAUUUUAAAUAGUGGAAAUUUGUUGUUCUUCCAUUUAAUCGGUUCAUUUACCUUUGUUAGUCAUUCUAUUCGGUUCAUUUUCAUGGUGAUAGGUUUCUAUUAGUUUCAAUUCGGUUUUCUUGUUUUGGCUUGUGUUCUUGAAUUGAUUGUAGAAUCUUGAUCCUAAUUCUUGAAAGUGUCAUAUAAUGGGUUUUUCCCUAAUCAACUCACAUCACAUGGCCUCUCAAAUGAUGCACCAUAUUCAUGAUUAUGAGCGAAACCCCAAGAGCAACAAAGAAGAGAAACUAAGAGACAAACACAUAAAAUGGAAUGAGAAAACUUAUGAUGGUGGGUGAGAAAUAUCACGCCACUUGGAGUGUGAUGUGCUCCAAGAUGAGUGUGUUGGCCACCACUUGAGAGCUUCCCAAAUCACACAAGAUAAGAACUCAAACCUAAGAGGACCUAAGCCUCACUAAGAGCUCACACAAUUUGUGCAGAGUUUCUUUACUUCAUUCAAAUUCAACAUGUCAAUACAAUGAGGUAGGCCUCCUAUUUAUAGGUGAAGGAGCCUUGGAAAACAAGAAGAUGGAUAGGAUGGGGAAAGAGGAAAUAUGGUGCGGCUAGGUAUUGACCUUGGUCAAUGCCGCACCAUCAUCCUACAUUCUACAAGGUAGGUUAAACUUCCUACCCUAAAGGACUGUCUCCUAGGUCCUCAUCAUCCUCCCCUGCCACAGACAACCAAAGUAGAAAUGACGAGUAAGAUAAUUCAAGAAUUAAUGGAGGAGAUGAGAAAGAAGACAGAACGGGUACGGCUAGAGUUGCGACAGAAGUUUUUAUCGCAACAAGUUUGUGCUAAGCCACAUGAGGUGCAUGUUCGUCCCGCGCCCAAGAGCACAAAUGGGAGGAUAUCAUUGGCCAGAUGAGCCAAUGUGAGCUAUUGGUAGAGGGCGACAUGUUUCCUCAGGUGGUGGCCAUUGGAAAAAUCUAACAAGAGGCCACCACCUUACAUAAUGGUCCUCUCUCCCCAGAUGUGGCGAAGGUAACCGUGCAAAGAGUACGAGUAGCUGAUGCUCGUGUUCCACUACCUUCAGAUGAGGUAACAACUGUGGCUGAUGCAUUUCAGACAUUUGUAGCCUGGCCCAAACAUCUCAUUCCAAUUAUACCAGAAUCUCCAAUAAUAAUAUCAUUUCAUUAUAAUAAUUUAUAUAUUACAUCUAAUUUAAUACAAAUGUUAACCUCAUCAGAAACCAAGUUCGAAAAACAAGGAUGAGGUUCUGAUUGACGAUCUUCUUAUUAGAAAGUAUGGCUUUAAACUAGAGGGGGGUGAAUGGUUUAAAAAGGGUUUUCGCAAACUUUUAAGCCAAGAAUGAAAUUACUUCGAGAAUAACUUGAUUAAGAAAUCAGUUUUCCAAAACACAAAGCAAAAAGCACAGCACCAGAAAAACAAUUGGUUGUUUCGCAUAAACAAUCGGUUGUUUAUACCAGUUUACAAAUAUAAAAACUGAAUUUAAAGAGAUUAAGAAUAUAGAGAAUGCACACAGAGAUUUAUACUGGUUCACUUUUAACCUAUAGCUACAUCCAGUCUUCCUAGAAACCACUGGGAAUCCACUAAGCAAUCAACCCUAGAUUACUUACCACACAACCAAAGAAGUGACCUUGAUCCCCUCAAGACACACACUUCCUUUGGUCUAGCACAACACCACUAAGAAUGUUGAUCUUGAUCCCCUCAAGAACACACAACACUUCUCAGCUAUACACACAGAGUUUCUUUCAAAGUACAAAGGAUUACACUUGUUACAAAAAAGAUCUGAAAUCAAUACAAGAUGAAGGUCCUAUCUCACAAUCUUUGAUCAAUGCAAUCUCUAAGCAAUUCUCAACUUUUCAAAAGCUCAAAACUAUGAAAAACUCAAAUCUGUUUUUCUAUGUUUUUAAAACAAAGUUGUUUGUUGCAUAAUCUUAACAAACUAUUAAUUGCAUUUAAAGAUUGGUCAAAGCAUUUAAAACCAGAGCGUAAACAGUUGAAAAUCAUUUAAUGCUCAGUCAAAGCACAAAACAGUUUUAUGUUAUGGUCCCAAAACAAACAAUCGGUUGUUUCCACGAAUCAAUCGGUUGUUUUGGUUUGACAGCAAGUCAACCAUCAAAAACAGUUUUCAACCUUUCUAAAAACACCUAAGUAUAAAACAAUCGGUUGUUUCGACAAAACAACAGGUUGUUUUUCACUUAGUUUGAAAAACACUUUUCAAUUAAAAGGUUUGAGAAUGUUUAUGCUUUGGAUUCAAUCAAGAGUGGAUAUAUACAAUUAAUCUACCCCAGAUCCUAUCUAACAACAGCUCAGCAACAACAAGCACAUCCUGCAUUUCAUCAACCUUCAAAGGGUUUGGAUUCUUCAAAGCUUGAACACACUUGAUUCAACACUUAUAGCUUCCUUAGUUGUAGCUGUUAGAGAGAUUGGUCAUAACCCUAUGAACAUUCCAUGGGAUGAGACAUUUUUUGAAAUAAACACUAACAUUCCAUUAUACAUAUACAUGUUAGAUUUGUUAGAAUUUGUAGUUGGGAACCAAUAGCUCAAUAUAAAUAUAAUUCAAUUUUUUAUAAUGUAAGUAUCUUUACCUAUAUUUCAAUUUACUUUAUGUUAAAUUAUUAUUGAUUAUGCUCUAACUAAUAACUUGUAGGUAUUUGCAUGGAGUUUCUAUCAAUGUCGGGAAUGAUGAUGUCUAUGGAUUCGUAUAUCCCUUAUAUACUAAUAUCACUGGAACAAAGAAAUGGGAAAUCCAAUCAUACAUCACUAAUACCCUAGAAAAAGAGGGAAAACAAAUUUAUUUAUGCCCUUAUAUUAAUGAGUAAGUUUAAUUAUAAGUCGUCAAUUAUUCUUAUUUUAUUUUUUAAAUAUUUACUAACUCUUUUCAUGGAUGAUAUAGGGGUCAUUGUCAGUUACUUGUCUUAUCCAUGGUUGAUAAGACUACUGUGUGGUUUUGUUCCGUAUACAAGAGGUCAUCCACACAUUUGAAGAUUAUGAUUGAUAAGUAACUACACUAUAAACUUCAUCCGUAUGUUACUAAAUAAGCAUCUACUAAUGUGGUUUUCUGUAUUAAUCAAUUCAUGGCGUUUUUAUAACAUCCUAAAAGGUCGAUCCAAUUCAAAUUAUCAAAAUCUGAAGUGGGUGACACUAAAGGUUUGUAUUUUUUGUCUUUCUCUUUUCAUUGUUUAUCAAUAUUAACUUUUACUUUCUAUUGAAUUAUAGUGUAAUAGACAACCAGGAAGUUAUGAGUGUGGCUAUUAUGUUAUGCAUUGAUGGUUACCUGUACUGGUCGGACGUGCUCGGGUCCUCGGCCCAAACACUUAAGUGUAGUAAGCUCGGUUAGAGAGAUUAUGUGAGAAAUACCCAGCUCGACCUGGGGUAGGUAUGGGCCGAAUAACACAUUAUGAGGUCGGCCCAUAUGUUUGGUAGUUUAUACAGAAAAGAUAACUAAAGUAAAAUGGCAGAAGGAAUAAUUGAAUUAGUUAAAGUGUAUAUAUGUUUUUUAAAUGCAAAUAAAAGUUGUAAGGAAUGAUGUGGCAGUGUACCCGAAAAUAAAAGGUACACGUUAACAUAAUGUACUUACUAUUGAAAUGAUAUUGUUAUUAUAUUCUUAUUGUUAAAGUAAUACUCUGGUUGAUGAAAAUCAUUGAAGGAAUGUUUAUAAAAGGGGUUUAAGACCCCGAGUAAAGGUAUGUUUUUUGCUGAACCCUACACUGAUACAAAUUGAUAGUUUGAAUGCUCUCACUGACUUGAUCAUUGAAGUGUGAUCAACAGGUAGAGCCCCCUUUGUCCCAAAGAAUCAGUAGCUCAGAGCAGCACAUGGAGACAAGUUAAAGCAGAGCUCACCUUAGAGACCGACCGAAGUCAGUCGGCGAGAACAUUUGGCGCCCACCGUAGGGCCCGAAAAAAACCUUAUCCCACCCACAUUUGCGACUGAGCAUUCCACAUAAUGAGAAACACGAGGCAAGGACCAUUGGGAUCUGAAGGAAGUGAGGCCCCCGCCUUGCAAAAACUUAUGGAGACAAUGAGGGUUAUGCAGGAGGCAAACGAAGAAUAUCGACUUUAGAAAGAGCGAAUUCGAGAAGAAACCAAGGUCGAGCAUGAACGGCUACAAGCAGAAGGUUGAGACGAACAGGAACACCUUUCAGAGGAAACGUGGUUGAGCCAGGCCCGCCUUAUGGUAGAGAUUGAGGCCUCUCGAAUAACUAUGGAGGAGCACGCACAAGCCAAUGUGGAGUUGCGCAAGACUAAUGAGGAGUUGCGGAAGAGUUUGCACCGACAGGAGUUGGUAAAAUUAAUGUGGUUGUCGAUGCUCUUUCAAGAAGAUAUACCUUGUUAAAUGUUUUGAAUGUCAAUAUUUAGGGUUUGAUCACAUAAAGGAACUUUAUCAUGAUGACUUAGAUUUCUCUCUAAUCUAUCAAGAGUGUUCCAAGGGCGGUCACAAAGACUUUUUCUUACAUAAUGGUUUUCUUUUCAAAGGCAAACGACUUUGUGUUCCCCAAGGAUCCAUAAGACAAUCUCUUGUUAGAGAGGCUCAUGAGGGUGGGCUUAUGGGACAUUUUGGGGUAGCUAAGACCUUAGAAACAUUGCAUGAACAUUUCUUUUGGCCUCACAUGCGCAAAUCCGUACAUACCUUCUGUGAUAGAUGUAUAGCAUGUAGGAAGGCUAAAUCUAAGGUCCAACCCCAUGGUUUAUAUANNNNNNNNNNNNNNNNNNNNNNNNNNNNNNNNNNNNNNNNNNNNNNNNNNNNNNNNNNNNNNNNNNNNNNNNNNNNNNNNNNNNNNNNNNNNNNNNNNNNNNNNNNNNNNNNNNNNNNNNNNNNNNNNNNNNNNNNNNNNNNNNNNNNNNNNNNNNNNNNNNNNNNNNNNNNNNNNNNNNNNNNNNNNNNNNNNNNNNNNNNNNNNNNNNNNNNNNNNNNNNNNNNNNNNNNNNNNNNNNNNNNNNNNNNNNNNNNNNNNNNNNNNNNNNNNNNNNNNNNNNNNNNNNNNNNNNNNNNNNNNNNNNNNNNNNNCCCCCAAACUGAUGGUCAAACCGAAGUGGUUAAUAGAACUUUGGGUCAAUUAUUGAGAUGCUUUAUUUCCGGGAAUCCAAGGGCUUGGGAGGAUUUACUACCUCAUGUUGAAUUUGCUUAUAAUAGGGUAGUAAAUUCCACCACUAACCAUUCUCCUUUUGAGGUUGUUUAUGGGUUUAAUCCCCUCACACCUCUAGAUCUUCUUCCCAUUCCUGUACUUGAUGAGGUUCUAUGCAAAGACGGUUUUGAAAAAGCUUCUUUUGUUAAGGAUUUGCAUAGCCGCAUCAAGUUACAAAUUGAGAAGAAAGUUGGUCAGUAUGCUGACACUGCCAACCAAAGGAGAAAGGCAUUAAUCUUUGAGCCCAGUGAUUGGGUUUGGCUUCAUUUGAGAAAGGAUAGAUUUCCUUCUCUAAGGAAGUCCAAACUUAUGCCUCGUGGUGAUGGGCCUUUCCAAGUCAUCAAGAGGAUUAAUGAUAAUGCCUAUGAGUUAGAUAUGCCCACUACUUAUCUUGGUANNNNNNNNNNNNNNNNNNNNNNNNNNNNNNNNNNNNNNNNNNNNNNNNNNNNNNNNNNNNNNNNNNNNNNNNNNNNNNNNNNNNNNNNNNNNNNNNNNNNAUCCCACUCCUUUUGCUGCAGGUUUCCCAAAUUCGUGGACGAAUUCUCUCCAACCCGGGGAGUAUGAUGGAAACCAAGUAGAUGAUGCUCAAGCCCAUGAAGCCCAAGCCCAACAAGGGGCCCAAGCCCAACGAAUCACUAGGAGCAUGGCAAGAGCUUUGGGACAAGAGUAUAAUAAGAUGGCUCUUCUUAUUUCUUUUAUAGAAUAGGGGUGCGGAUGUAAUAAAUAGGUGUAAGUAGUAAGGGAGGCUAGGGGGGACUAUAGAUAGGAGUUAGGAGGUGCCAAACUAGGAAGGAAAGUCACACUUCCUUCAUGCACUAGUUGGCGCCGAAUUUAACUCUCAUUUGAGGCACAUUUGGCUUUGCAUUUCAGCACCCUAUAGGCUAUAAAUAAAGGUGUUGCCCUUGUACAAUUCAGAUUUGGAUUUUGAAGUAGAGAGACUAUACUCAAAUUUAGAGAGAAAUUGUGAGUUUUGAGUCUUCUUCUUCCUUUGCCUUAUCUUGUGAGCAAUGAUGAGCUUCAAGUGGCGGCACUCCUUCACUUAUCUUGGAGCAAGGUUCCAAGUGGCGUGAUUUCUUCUCCAAGUCUCAAAAUCCAGCAAGUUAAACUCCAUAAGUGAUUCUUCUUCCUCUUCUCUCCAUUCCAUUCGGUAGUUUAGCAUUUCUUGGUGUUUCCUUUCAUUUGCACCGUUUGAAAUUGUGUUUCCAGCUUUGUUUCUUUUGUUCGGUCCAAUUCAGUAGCUUAGCUUUACAUUUCUGUUCGGUUCACCUUUCUUGUUCUUCUUCAUUGUUGUUUGAUUCCAUUUGACAAUAUAUGGACUUCCAUAUGAGCUUUGGUUUGGUGCAAAGUCUUGGUGAGUUCUUGAAUUAGAACAUUGAUCCAAUUCUAAGUAAAGUGCCAUUUCAUGACCAACUCAAGUUGCUCCUAAGAAUGUCAAAGAAUCAUGUAUUCUUGUUAUUGCAUUCACAUCAGCAAGGGAGUUCAGCCGAUCUACGAAGCUUUCCCUUUGUUUCACAAAGGCUAACUUGGAGAAUGUGUUUCCCCAUGAAGACGAUCCAGUGGUGAUAUCUGUUAUCACUGUAGGACGUAAGGUGCACAAGUACUAAUUGAUCAAGGGAGCUCAGCAGAUGUAAUGUUAUGGGGAACUUUUACCAAUUUGCAGAUAUCCCCUGACCAAUUAAGGCCAUAUGAUGGCUAUCUAGUUGGUUUUGCAGAGUGGAGGUGCAAGGAUAUGUCGAAUUGAGGACGACCUUUGCUGAUGAAAGUGCGGCCAGGAUGAUUACCAUCAAGUACAUCGUUGUCAACGCAUCUUCUCCAUACGACCUGCUCCUAGGCCGACCUUCCUUGAAUAAACUAGGUGCGGUGGCUUCAACCACCCACACGAAGAUGAAGUUGCCUUCAGCUGAACAAAAGGUGAUCACUAUAAAAUCCCACCAAAAGAUGGCCCGAAAAUGUUACGAAACUAGCUUAAAAAAUCGUAGGGGAACCUACGCAGUUACUAUCCAACUCGAGGAGCCGGGAUGGGUAGUAGAGGCCGACAUCAGCGAUGAAAGAGGACUUGGGGCUGCAAAAGAAGUUCAAGAGAGGGAGAUACAGGAAAAUAAAUUCAAGUUCGACGCCUCGUUUUGAAAAGAGUUAGAGGAUAAAAUAGCUUAUGUCAUCUCGAGAAUAUGAACGCUUUCGCAUGGUCGUCCGCGAACAUGCCUGUAAUAGAUCCAGAUUGCUUGUGCCGCUAGCUAACAAUGGAUGAAAAGGUUAAGCCCAUGAUUCAAAGACAGAAGAAAUUCAAUGAAGAAAAGCAUUUCUUCAUUCGGGAAGAAAUUCGAAAACUGGUAGUUGCUGGCCACGUAAGGGAAAUUCAAUACCCCAAGUGGUUGGCAAAUGUUGUCUUGGUAAAAAAGGUGAACGAAAAGUGGAGAAUGUGUGUUGACUUCACCGAUCUGAACAAGGCUUGUCCCAAGGACUCUUAUCCUUUACCAAACAUAGAUUCCCUGGUCAACAACACCUCAGGAUGUCGCAUAUUGAGUUUUCUAUAUGCUUUUUCCGAUUAUAAUUAGAUUCACAUGCUUCCGAAGGACAAAAGUAAGACAACUUUUAUGACCGAGGUCACUAGUUAUUGCUACAUGGUCAUUCCUUUUUCCCUAAAGAACGCUAGGGUGACCUACCAACAGCUCAUGGACCGGAUCCUUUCACCAAUGCUCAAGUGUAACGUCCAAGCAUAUGUGGAUGACAUGGUUGUCACCUCGAAGAAGGAAGAUCAACAUGUUGCCGACCUGGAGCAGCUAUUCGCCAUAAUAGUGAGGUAUAAUUUGAAGUUAAAUCCUAAAAUGUUUAUUUGGAGUUGAAGCAGGAAAGUUUCUCGGUUUCCUGUUAACCGAGAGAGGCAUAGAGGAGAACCCGGAUUGUGCAACAACCAUAGAGAUGAGGAGUCCCACUAACGUGAAAGAGGUGCAACACUUGAUCGGGCGCAUUACCGUCUUGUCCCGUUUCUUAUCAGCUAGUGGAGAUAAGGGAUAUCCUUAUUUCCAAUGCCUGAAGAAGAAUAAUCAUUUUGUAUGGACUAGUGAAUGCGAAGAAGCUUUCACCAAGUUUGAUAUGAUUCCAAUAACAUGAUGGAGAUAUGAUAUGAACAUGUUAUGGAUUCAAUAAGAGUUGGAAUAUGAUUAGGCACUUUCUAAGAAUUGGAUCAAUGUUCUUAUCAUUCAAGAACUCACCAAAACACAAGUAUCCAAGCCAAACUCUCUUAGAAACCCAUUUUUGGACAUAUGAACCGAUUAAAACAAGAAACAACACAAAUGCACUGAUUAAAACUCAAGGAAACACAAUUAAAACAACAAGAACAACAAACCAAAUGAAACUACCGAAUAUAAACACAAGACAAACAAAUUCUACCGAUUGAAAUAUCAAGAAACAACAAAGACAUGUUUUAGAGUUUGUUUUGGAAUGGAAAUGGAAGAAUGAGAUGAAAAGAACAAGGAAACUUAUGUGGUUGGACCUCUUGGAAAUGUGCACGCCACUUGAAGGAUGAUUGGCUUCAAGAUGAGUGUUGUUGCCGCCACUUGAGAGACCAAGAAUUCACUCAAGAUAAGACUAGAAGAGAAGAAGACACAAGUCUCUCUCAAUUCACUCACCAAUUUGGGAGAGGUUCAAUACUCACAAAAUCAAUCUUAUUAUUUCAAAGACCUAAGCCUUCCUUUUAUAGAGAGGAGGACCUGGUCACAAGUACAAAGGAAGCUUACAAGAGAAGCUUUGAAAGGUAGCCUUCUAACUCUUCCUAUUCUAGCGCCUAAAAGAGAGUGAAGAGGCACCUUCUAGAUCUUUCCUAAAAACUAACGCCUAAAGGUGCUAUACAAAGGAGGUGUCUUAGGUUUCCCUCUUUAGCACCUUCCUAAACACUACUCUAUGUGUUUUUAAUUUUAUACAAAAGAAACUAUAAAAAGAGAAAACAUUUUAAGCCUACUACCUAACUCCUUAGCUUUGCUCCUUGUAAUCCUUUGAGGUAGAAAGGAUGAUGAGCCAAUGUGUCUUUGAUCAUCUUGAACUUCAACCUCAUUCUCUUCUUCUUCUUGAUCUCCAUCAAAGUUAAAGGAGUACCUAGCUAGUCCUCCCAUUCUCGGUAAACCAAUUCUAGAAUCCCUACUCGUCCCUACUUUUCGAUAACAGAUCGGGCUAUUAGCUCGACCAUUUUGCAAGAUCAGGAGAAGAUCCAUAAGCCAGUCUAUUUCGUAAGCAAGGUGCUACAACGACCAGAAGUUCGGUAUCAAGCUAUCGAGAAAGCUUCCCUAGUUGUGGUGUUCACAACUCAAUGACUUCAUUAUUUCAAAACUUCACUGUGAUCGUAAUGACCGACCUGCCUAUCCAUAAGGUUCUUCAAAAGCUCAACAUUGCAGGUCUAAUGGUUCGUUGGGCAGUUGAAUUGUCUGAAUUCGACAUAUAGUACGAACUGCGAGGGCCAAUUAAAGGCUAGGUAUACACUGACUUUGUGGUAGAGUUUUCAUCCAAGGACUCCCAGCACGACCCUAAUGAUUUGCAAUGGGUCCUUUCGAUUGAUGGGUCCUCCAACCUACAAGGGAGCGGAGCUGGAGUCAUUCUAGAAGGACCAAGUGGGCUCUUAAUUGAACAAGUCCUCAAGUUUGCAUUCAAGAAGAGCAACAACCAAGUUGAGUAUGAGGCCUUAAUAGCGGGAAUGUUGCUAGCAAAGGAAUUGGGGGCUCGACGCUUGUUGGUGAAAUUUGACUCACUACUUGUAACUGGCAAGUCACAGGUGAAUAUCAUGCCAAGGAUCCAUAACUGGCCUCGUCCCUCAUGUAUGUGAAAAUCCUGAGGAUGGCUUUCUCGCGUUUGACCUUGUUCACGUCCUCUGAGAAUAGAAUUCUCAAGCAGACCUAUUUUCCAAAUUGGCUAACUCACGAAAGGAAGGUCGGCAGAGGUCAGUAAUUCAGGAGACCAUAAAGUUUUCCCGGACCACCACAGGGGAGUUAUUAAAGGUUGGCCACUUUGAGGUUUUACAGGUCAACCUUGGACAAGGGAGAAGGCAUCGUUCAAUUGUCCAAGAAACACUGAAGGCCCCGAGAAUAACUAUUUAUGAAUUCCCUUGACAUUUUUUAGUUUAAUCGAGGAUACCUGGCUAACACCUCACAAACAAUACCUCGCCAAUGGAUUACUCCCUUCAAAGCCCAUAGAAGCCAAAAUUUUCAAGAAGAAUGCAGGAAGGUACACCCUGAUAGAUGGGAAUCUAUUUCAUUACGGUUAUACUCAUCCUCUCCUCACCUGUGUAAGUGGAGACCAAUGCAUCCAGAUAAUGUUUGAGCUUUAUGAGGUUGUUUGUGGCAGCCACAUCGAUGGGCAAGCUCUCUCGUUGAAAGUCAUUCGAGCAGGGUAUUAUUGGUUGACGAUAAAGAAAGAUUGCGGCAAGCAUGUCCAACAAUGUGAGCAGUGUCAGAGGCAGGCUGAUUGGCACCAUGCACCAGCCGAGGAUAUUCUAACAGAAUCUAGACACUACAAGAAAAUAACAAUUUAGUCACCGAAUUCAGCGACCGAAAAUAAGUGGUUGCAAUUUGCAACCGAAAUAGCCACCAAAUACCCGUAGUGUCAAAUCUGCGACCGAAAUAACGACCGAUUGAAUUAUUAGUGAUGUUAGUUAGUUUUGCGACCGAAUCAGCGACCGAACAUGAGAGUGACAAAACCAUUAGUCGCUAAAGUGGUGGUUGUUUUGAAUAAAUUGGAGAAAAUAUAUCUGCAACAGAAUUAGCGACCAAAUAUGUUUAUUUUUUAGCCACCGAUUUUAUUUUGGUCGCUAAAUAUUAUUGCUUAUUUUCUGCCGCCGAAUUAGCCACUGAAUAUGUUUAUUUUUUAGCAACCGAUUUUGUUUUGGUCGCUAAAUAUAUUUGUUUAUUUUUGUCACCGAAUUAGCCACCGAAUAUGUUUAUUUUUUAGCAACCGAUUUUGUUUUGGUUGCUAAAUAUAUUUGUUUAUUUUUGUCACCGAAUUAGCCACCGAAUAUGUUUAUUUUUUAGUCAUCGAUUUUGUUUUGGUCGCUAAAUAUAAUUGUUUAUUUUUGUCACCGAAUAAGCCACCGAAUAUGUUUAUUUUUUAGCCACCAAUUUUCUUUUGGUCGCUAAAUAUAAUUUUUUAUUUUUGCCACUGAAUCAGCCACCAAAUUUGUUUAUUUUUUAGCCACCAAUUUUAUUUUGGUCGCUAAAUAUAAUUAUUUAUUUUUGUCACUGAAUCCGCCGUCAAAUACGUUUAUUUUUUAGCCACAAAAUUUUAUUUACUCGCUGAAUGUAAUUUUUAUUUUAUAAUAUUAAUAAUAAUUAUUAUUAUUAUUUUUAUUUUAAAAAACUAUACUAGGAGCAUCAAAAUAAAUAAUUCAUGAGUAGUCAUCCAUUUAUAAAAUAAUUAGUUGUAUUACUUUUUUUUUUUCUAUUUAAAAAUUUUGUGUCAAUUAUAUUUAUAAUUUCUUAAAUUUAAAUAAAAUUAAUUAAUAUUUUUUAAAAUAUCAGCUAAAAUAAAAAUUCUAAAUAAAAUUACAUAACAAAAUAUUAUUAUUUAUAAAAUUAAUCCUUUAAAAAAAUAAAUUACACCAUAAUUAAAUUUAAAUAAAAUUAUCUCUUUAAAAUAACUUUAAUUUUAUAAAAAUAAAUAAAUUUUCAGAAUUAAAUUGUAAAUAAUUUUUUAAUUUUUAAUAUUUUAUUUAAAAAUUAUUAGCAGAGGUAAUGAGUAUCUACAAGUUAGAAACCAUGAAAUUUUUAUUAGUAUGAAAAAUAAUUAAGUGAUUAAAAUACUCUAAUUUAUUAUUAUGGGUAUUUAAAUACUUAUUUAAUAUUAUUUUUUAAUUUUAAAAAAUGUUUUGGCUCCAUAAUUUUAUUUAUUUCUAAUAAUAAAUAAUGUAAUUACAUAAAACAUUGAAAUGUUGAUUCGAAAUCAAUUUUAUUUCUAAAAGUAUUGAAAAAUUUGUAUCUCAUGAAACUCUGUGGGAUGGUGUGUAAAAUAUAAUGAAGAAAAUAGUAGCGGUGGUGGAUGGUGCGUAACUUACGCAACCACCAAAAAUUACGUUGCAUUUCUUUUCGCGGUACGAUAUGUAACCAAACGUGUCAAAACUUAGAACCUGUCACUUUCUUUCCCUUCUUUCUCACACAACACACACGAUAGUGAGUGACUCUCUCUUGCUUUCUUCCUCCUUUGAUCGAUUCCGCACACCACACGUCCACCAUCGAUGGUCUCCAAACCUACAGACUCCGCUUCCAAACCUCGAGUCAGUUUCUCUCUCUUCCUUCAAUUCAAUAAUAACUGAAUACAACUUGUUGUUUAAUGCUUCAAUUCCUUUUUUUCUCUUCCGACUCAACGGAAUCGAUGGCGUAACUGUUUUUCAGAAUUUGUUUAUGUCUAUAUAGAAUUUUGAAAUUGAGCUGGUAAUCACGAGCUGACAUCAUUUUGGAGUUCUCUGUUCCUCUAUCUCUCUGUAAGUGAAUAUCACAACACUUGAGUCGCAAGUAGGGCUUUUGGAUUGUGCUUAGUCUUCAGUGUUGAUUUCUGUUCUGUUAUAGAUUUUCCAUUGCUAAUUAAAUUGUCCUUGUGCUUCAUCACUUGAGAAUUGAAAUUUUGUUUUAUGUUUUUCUACUUUUUGUAUUUUGAAUGUGGUGACGUUUUCUUUUGUAAUGUCGAUAGAAACAACUUGGAGAGCCAGCAAAUGAUGCAUUGAGAACCUUGUCACUCAAGAUAAAUCAGUUGAAAAAGCAAAUCCAGGCGGAGAGAAUAGUAUACAUUAAAGUAAAAUUGAUACCGGAUUUAUGCUGCCUUAGUUUGAUUCUUCUAAGAAUGAGUCUAUAUUUCUAUAGUUUGUUUGCUGGAGAGAUAACUUUUUGUUUUUGUUAAUUUAGGAAGAUGGCCUUAACCUCUAUCUCGUAACAUUUGUCAUUGUAUGCAAAAUCGAUUAUCUAUAAAUUUUAUUGCAAUUCUUAUUUGACCUUUUCACGGAGAGUUAAUUUUUCUAAUUUGGUUAUAUUGGUAGCAAGUCUUUGUAUGAGCUUCCAGCAGCUUUUCUUUGCAUGUUUCUGGUACAACUUUAUGUUAUGAUUUUUAAUUUAAACGUGAAUUCAAUUAAUCGAAAAUUUCAAUGUUCCGAGGCUUUUCUUGUACUCAUUGCAAUCAACCUUAGUUGUAUUUCUACAGGAAAAAACUCAAAGCAAUGAGAAGAAAUUACAAUGUCAUACGUAAGGAAUCCUAUAGAUAUUAAUAAUACAUAUAAAUAUAGUCACCAAAAUUAAUUUGGUGACUAUUUAGCCACCAAAAUCAAAUAUGCCGUUAUAUAGGUCUUCAUUUAGUCACUGAAUUAACCACCGAAAGUUUUUUUAUUUAAUUAUUUUAAUCCAUUAGCGACCGAAAAUGGUGAUCGCUAUCACCUUCUGUUUCAGUUACCGAUUUAGCUACCGAUUUUUUUAUAAAAGUUUGGUCGCUAAUUUGGAUUCUGAAUUUUUGUGACCAAAUUUUCUGCAACCGAUUUAGCCACCAAAAUUUCAGUUGCUAAUUUGGUUUCCGAAUUUUGGUGACAAAAUUUUCUGCGACUGAUUUAGCAACCGAAAUUUCGGUUGCUAAUUUGGUUUCUGAAUUUCGGUGACCAAAUUUUCUGCGACCGAUUUAGCCACCGAAAUUUCGGUUGCAAAUUAGUGACCACUUUAUAAUUCGGUCGCUAAAGGCUUUGCGACUAGGGUUUUCGCUUUCAUCUUUAUUUUGUGGUUGUUUCGGUCACAAAUACGUUUAGCGACCGAUUAUAAUAGUUUUAGCGACCAAAUUUGGUGGUCGCUAAAAGUGAUUUUUUUUGUAGUGAGACUUGCUGGACGAGGUACAUGAUCACACCGUAUAAACUCGGAAGCCCUGAAGAGAAGGGUGGAACUAAAGCACAAGACCAAGACGAAACCUCAGUAGUUCAAGGUUGUCGACCUGGUGAUGUAGAAGGUCCACCCCUACCAGAUUGAGAACAAAUUGUCUCCAAAGUGAACUGGCCUGUUCCGCAUAGUCGAGGUACUAGGAAACGACGCAUAUAAGCUGGAAACCUUGGAGGGACGAGUCAUCCCACGAACAUGGAACGCGGCAAACCUCAAAUUUUAUUUUAGUUUUAGUUAAGACGCUUAAGUUUUCAUUCUUUUCUUAUGAACAUUAUGUUGUUUGAGGUGACACUUUUUUUUCCAUCAAAGAGGAAUUUUUAACGAGGUCACCUAGUAAUAAAUUUGUUCUUGGAUGUAUGAAAUAAGUCACUCAAAGUUUCGUUAUUUUUUCUUACUUUCGUUAAUCACACUUGCUUGGAAAUAUAUUCCCUUUUCAUCUCCCUUCUUCUUGUCAACUUGUCUUGUAAUAAAAUUGAUCUGUUCUAGGAGUACCUUGUGCACCUUGUCGUCAUGUUCAAUUCUCACAAUGGGAAGGACAUGUUAAUCUCCAUUUUCUACAUAUCUACCUUUUGCUUUUCACAUGUUAUUCUCCUUUCUUCUCCUUCGUUUGUGUUGUAAUUAUGACUUUAUCUUCUAGCUGUGAAAAACAGGCUCAAAAGAUACUUCUCUGCUAUUUUUUACAUGUAUAGUCCCGCCUAUCUCUACUUUCCCCUUUCCACUAUGAUUUAAUUCAUGUUGUACGUUUUGAUUCCUGAAAAUUUGGAAAUUUUCGUAGAGUUUGCUUUGAGUUGUUAAUGGUGUAUUAGUUUUUAUGCUAUUAUUGAGAACCAAGUGUGAGUUAGGAUAUUCCUUGGUUGGAGGCUUCUGCAGGUCUUAAAAAUUAAAGUUGUUAGAGCUCAGCCGGCAGCAUCACCUUGCUGUUUGUUUAUUUAUAUGUUGAAUUUACUAUUCAUUAAUUAUUGGUGCAUAGGUUUUGGAUCAUGCAUGGGUUGACGUGCAUCUCUUCUGACAACACUAUCGUUAGCUGCUAGGUUUUUGUUAGUUGGUAUAUUAAUAAUAUCUAUUUUUGUUGGCUUUAGGUUGAUCCUACUUUGAAUUUAGAUCUAAGAGAAUUACUAUUGAACUCUAUUCCUUCCAAACUUGACCAUCAUCUCCAAAUUCAUUUCUUGCCAACAACUGAGCUCGGUGGCAUCAUUGAAUUCAUGGAGAGCUGCAUGAACUCGCCCAAUAUAAGCAACUAUAGGGCCAUGAAAGCAUUGCGGGGCUAAAAGAGUCAUUAGAUCUUUAUAUAUGCAUAUAGUUGUGCCCACUCCAAACUAAUUUACAAAUUUCAUAUGAAAGAAAAACAGGGUAUUAUAUACUAAGUUACAUGAGAUAAAAUAGAGGCGCAUUGAGCGUAAAACCAUGUGUUAGAAUACACCACAGAAGCAUGAUUAUAUGGGCUUAUUGCAUUCAUUAGACAUGAUUAGAGGAUAUUUUAUUUCCCUUCAAUGAGAUAUUCAUAUCAAAAUAUUGUAAUUUGAUUCUCAACUGUUAUCUUUAUCAGAAACACUCACAGCCAAUGGUAGAGUCAUUUGACCAAGUACUAUGUUAAGCUUUAGCAGCUUUUAGCCAAGUAGGAUGCAUGACCUGUUUGUUAGGGUUAGGUUCCUUGAGUGAGUAAUAAAAGGAGAUGGAGACAGGGUUUUACUAUACCGUGUUUAUCUAGAAUUUGUCAUAAUGGACACUUGUAGGAGGAGAAGGACUGGAAUGAGAAAGGGAGGGAGACACACGUGGAAUAGGGUGAGAACAUGGUGAAGAACAAGACAUAAAAACUGUUAUAGAGGUAGUAGACAAUGAGGUUGGGGAUGAAAUGACCUGAGGGGACCUAAAGGGCGAAGUGUUGAAUUAUGAAAUGUAUAGAAAGAUAGCAAAUUGAAUAGCGAAAUCAAAGCUUUUUAAAGAUGACAUCAUUAGAUAUAUAGACUAUACUGUCAAAGUAUAUAGAUAUUGAAAAUGCUUUUAUACUAUUGUUAUUAUGAGAUGGAGAUGAUGCAGUGCAGUCGAUUUUUUCCUGCUACAAUUCUAAUGGUCAUAGAUAAUCUACUGCAUGAUAAUAAUUUAAGGUCACUGUAUCUAAACUUAUUUUGAGAAAACAUUUCCUGAGAUUAAUCUUAAAUUAAGCAAUUUGAAGUUUGUAAGUGUUCAAAUUGCUUUGGUACUCAUUACUUUUGAGUAUUUUAUCCUGUCGUUUGUUAUCCAGUACGUGUAAUUAUUUCCACUUCAUACUUAUCCUAUUCCCUUGUUUCUUUCUUGAAGCCACAAUCAUCUUACAAUACUAGACAUUGCAAGGAAGGCUUUUCUUUACGGUGCAUAUUUCUUUCUUGUAUUUUCUUUUACUUAAAAGGAUGAAUGAUGAAAUUUGGAUGGAUCAAAUUUCCUUAUAGCCCUAAGUUUAAUCUCCUUAGAAUAUUUUAUAAUCUUCUCACUCUUGACCCAUAUUUUGUACUUCUACAUUUUCUUAUAGCAUUUUAUGGAAGGCAAUACAAAAAUUGCUCCAGUAUCUCGCUUGCCUCUCAUCACUGUUCUAGAUACUAAGCAUCAUUUGAAGGUCAUUCCAGUUAUACAGGCAAGAUUCCUUUAACAUUUGAGUUUGAGAUUGGUUUGUUUUCCUAGUACAUGUUUAUUCAAUCAUCUGAUACCUUUUAUGCAUUACCAGCCAUUUCAUUUGGAGGUUAAUUUCUUCAAUAAAGAGAAUCGAGUUCUUCACUAUCCUGUCAGGGCUUUUUAUGUGGAUGGAUCUAAUCUUAUGGCAUAUAAUAUAUUAUCUGGAUCUGAGCGUAUCUACAAGAAGCUCUAUAAUUCGGUAAUGUAGAGACUAGAAAGUGUAGUAUGUUAAAAAAAAUAUAAUAGUAUUUUUUUUUCAAUAGAAUUUAUCAUUUGCUUAAUAUUGACCAAAUUUUAAGAGAAAUAAAAUGAUAUUUCUUAUUAUGGAUUGACCACAAUUGCAUUAGAGAGUUGUAUUGGUAAAGUUUUCUAGAAGAGAUCCUAAUCACCUUGAGUAUAAAAUAAAUAAAAGGAUAAGAUAGGGAGUAAAUUAAGGGAUCGUUAGAGAUUAUGUUCAAAACUAGGUCCAAGCAAUCAUAAGAUAAGGUGUGCCACUUGCUGUGAAGUAGAAAGAAAUGGCUUGCAAAUUUGGUUGUGUCCACCCAGCAAACCAUUCUUCCUCUAGAAGAUUGUUUUAUGUUGUAUGAUUUCUUUCAAAAUGAACAUACACUAGCCUAUUAACACUUUCCAGAUCAAGCAGUUCUUAAAUCAUCUUAUACUGCACUCCCUCAAUUUCAUGUUGAUAAUUUAAAAAUGAAUCUAAGCUCCUAUCUGGUUUACUUUGUUUCGGUAAAAGAUAAUCAUGAAAAUGUUAUUGAAAUUUCCGAGAAUCAGAAUUUGAAGCUAACAAAUCGACAAAAAUGUUUCAAAAUAAGAUGCCUACUGAGGACUAAUCACCGUGUUUCAGAUAAUGGUAAUGAUACUAGGGAACCUUGUGUUAGCUUAGUUUGCACUAUUACUCUCCUAUUUAUUUGCAAAGUAAAAUGGUAUAUUUUAUAUCUUUAAUCAUAGUAUUCUUACCCUUCUGGUACAACAGUGUUAAAAAUCCUAUUAUUGGAUAAAAUGUAUGACCAUAGAAGAUGAAUACAAUAUCUAAUUAUCUAAUAAAGUGGUACCUUCAUCUUUAUUACUUCCAUUUAUAUAACUGUUUUCUUGAGAAAUACUUUUACUAAUAAUAUUAUACUCUCUCAAUGUGAAAAAAUAUAAAUAUUUCUUUUAGGAAGGUAAAUGUAUUUGACUUGCUAAUGUUUCUUAAACAUUAAUAUUUAUAGAUCAAACAACUAUCAGACUUUGAUUUUGUAACCAGGACUUGCUGAAGAGCUGGGAGGAAGCAAAAUAUUAGUUUUGUAAUUUGAAGUUGUAUGAUUCUUUUUUAUUGUCUUUUUUCUUGGCUUCAUUAUUUGUUAUAUUUGAUGUAUCUGUAGGAAUAUAAAAGAGGAUUUUGAUACACAUGUGAAGAAAAUCCAACCAUCAUAACUAUAUGCUUUCUUAUAAAUUGUGGUUUAUAAAUUGGUGGUUUAAUUUAUUGUUUUACACAAACAUAUAUUUUCAUUAUCUAACUUUACUUUAUUAUAUACUAUUUAUUAUUUAUUGACAUGUAUAAUGUUUAAGAAUAUAUAUGUACUUUUGACAUGCAUAAUGCAAAAUAAUAAUAUUUAAGAUAUUUAGGUAAUUACGAGGUAGUGAACAUGAGAAAGUUGAGUAAGAGGGAAAUUAAGCAAAUGAUUUUUUUUACUAAAAAAAUAUUUUUCAUAUAAUUACUUAUGUACAUAUAUUUUUUAAUUGCAUAAUAAAAAUAUACUUCCUUUAUUAAAAAACGUAAUUUUUAAAUUAGUACUUUUUAUAUAAUUAAUUAUAUAUAUAUAUAUAUAAUUUGUAUUGAGAAUUUUUUCCUUAAAAAAAUAAAAUUGCAAACAAAGAUAAUAUAACUCAAUAUCAUCUCUUAUCUUGAUUAAAAAUUAGAUAAAUAUCUUUCUUGAUCUGCUUGCAAUUACGGUUAAAAUAUUAUUUAAUUUUUUUUUAAAAUAUAUCGGCAAAAGAAAAACAUGAGCCCAAUACCGUACCUCAUAGAGUAAUCAUUGUGCAAUUAUUAUUAAACUUGUCAUAAAAUAUAUUUUUUUAUGAUUGAUAUACUUUUAACCCAUUAUAUAAAAUAAUAAUUUUUAUGAUAGUUAAAAUAUUAUUUAUCAUAAAAAAUAGCAUAUAUUAUAACAGUUAAAAUAUUAUCUAUUAUUAAAAAAUAUGGUUUAAUAUAUUUUUUAUGAUAAUUUUUUUAGAUUUGACAUAAAAAAUAAUUUUUUUAUAACAAUUAUACAAUUAUUAUAAAAAAAAUACAGAUUUUCUAAGUUUUCUGUAUUAUAACAGGUCUAAAAUCAUCAUUAUAUGUUUUAACUAUAAUAAAAAGUAUUUUUUCUAUUUACUAAAUCUUAGAUAACCGUGGUAGAAUAUUUAUGUGUUAGAAUAGAGUGCAUUUGGGAGAACUCCUCUAGAAAUAAGGUGAUAUGCAUCUAAACAAAACAUUUAGUUUUGAGCAUUAAUAAUUUUAAUUUGUUUUGAUCUGGAUUAGAAUCUAAUUUUUUUAGUGCGAGAUACUAUAAGUGUCGGCAUCUCAUCUUCUCCAAUGACUAAAAGUUGAUAGAUUCUGCAAGAACAACAUUUCAACGUGUUUUGAAAAUUUGUCUUUCAAUUCAUGACCUGAACAUUUGUUCUGAACCCACUACCAACAGAGUUUCAAAAAUCUGAUAUAUCUUGAAUCUGAAAUCAAACAUAUACAUAUAUUUGUAUGUUACUAAUUUUCUUUUUAUCUUUUGUGGCUGAGAUUUAAUUAUAACGACAGUGAAGAUCCUGAAUAUCUGCAGAGAUGAAAGUGUUCCUUUUGGUUCGGGUCUUAAUCAAGGAUGAUCGGUAUAUCAGCAAGAGUAUAUUUGAAAAUCUGCUAUCAAAGUUCCAUAUGUUUUUCUUAGAUGCAUUUUAAAGAUCUUUGAAUAUUGCUUUCCCUUUCCCAAUAAAAGACCAAUAUAUAUAUAAAAGUUUAAAACUUGAAAACACAUGUUAUUUUAUUGAUUUAAAAUAUUUAGUAAUAUUAACUUAAAAGGAUUGGAAUUGGGGGACUCUUGCCCCUUUCCGCGUCGCUCUGCUCGCCUAAGAUCCAAAACUGCUGUGGUAGGGCCAUCGGAGAGCGCCAGAGGAGGGAUGGCCUCUGCAUCAAUUUCUGACUUGGAUAUUAAUAACUGUAAUUCCCGUGUACGGGCAACGGUUAAUCUGGCGGAACCAGCCUCGCUGUGGGCCAUUGGAAAGCAAGUGGGGAUUUUUUGUCGGAAGGAAGAGGAGGAAGUUGUGAAGGAGUAUGAGUGUAUGGAUGAUCGAGAUGAAGAGGUUGCUAGGGGUCUGGAAAAUGGAGGAAGGUAUGUUUCCUUAUGAUUAUUUUUAGUCUAAAUAUAAGAGGGCUUGGGGGGAGUACCAAAUCUAGGUACGUACGUCAUGUCAUAGGGAAAGAAGGGGUGGAGUUUGUGUGCCUGCAAGAGACAAAAGCUAAUGGGGUUACGCAACAAAAAUGUUGCUCCUUGUGGGGGACUAAUAAAAUAGGAUGGCUUCAUCUUGAAGGUGUUAAUGGAGGAGGGUGUUUGUUGUCUAUGUGGUACGAGGAUGCUUUUAGCUAUGAGAGUCAUAUUAUGGGGAAAGGCUUCAUAGCUGUCUUCGGCAAAAACCGAGUAUCUAAUCUUAGUUGUGUAAUUGUAAACGUCUAUGCUGCCUGUAAUCUGAGGGAUAAGAAGACCCUGUGGGAGGAGCUGUCAAGUGUAAAACGGGCCUAUCAAGACAAAGUGUGGUGCCUUUGCGGUGACUUUAAUGCUGUCAGAAGCCAAUGUGAAAGGAAAGGAAUAAGGGUUAGGGAUGAUCAAGCAAAGGAGAUUGAGGGUUUUAAUAGUUUUAUUGAUACAAAUGCUCUUCUUGAUCUGCCUCUAGUAGGCAAGAAAUUCACCUAGUUCAAAGUAAAUGGAUCUGCUAAGAGUAGACUUGACAGAGUGCUUGUGUCAGAAGAGUGGCUGGACAAGUGGCCUAUGAGCAAACAAUAUGUGCAAAAUAGGAAAGUUUCUGACCACUGUGCAAUUGUGGUGAAGUCUAUGGUCAAGGAUUGGGGGCCCAGACCCUUUCGGUCCAUUGACGCCUGGUUAACGGAAAAGGGGUUUUGUGACAUGAUCAAGGACAAGUGGGGGUCAUACGCUGUGCAGGGGGAAGUGUUUCAAAAGAUCAAGAUGAAGCUAAAGUGCUUGAAGGAAGACCUUAAAAUAUGGAAUCGGGAGGUGUUUGGAAACCUGCAUAACAAAAAGGAAGGACUAUUACAGGAGAUAGAGGACUUGGAUUGUAGGGACUGUAAUGCUGACCUCGGUGAAUCUGAUAGACUGAGAAGAUAUGAUUUGGUUGGUAGGCUGAUGGAAACUGAGAAAAAGAUUGAGUCCCUUAUUUGUCAAAAAGCUAGAGUGAACUGGUUCAAGAAUGGGGACUCGUGCACUAAGUUUUUUAACUCCUCCUUGAGGUGGAGAAGGCUUAGGAAUGAAGUGAAGGGGGUGGAGGUGGGGGGCCUGUGGUGUGAGGAACCUGGUACGGUGCGCACCGAAGCGAAGAGACUUUUUGAAAACAGAUUUAAAGCCACGAGAGACUUUGGAGUUAGACUUGAUGGGGUGGAGUUUAAGACCAUCACCGUUGAGGAUAACGUGUCCCUGGUUGCUGGCUUCGACGAGGAAGAAAUAAGGGAGGCUCUUUGGCUUUGUGAGGGAUCGAAGAGCCCAGGACCAGACGGUUUUAAUAUGAAUUUUAUAAAGAAAAGUUGGGGGUUCAUAAAAGAUGAAGUUGUGGAAGCCUUCACUCUUUUCCAUAAGAAUGGUGUAAUCCCAAGGGGCUNNNNNNNNNNNNNNNNNNNNNNNNNNNNNNNNNNNNNNNNNNNNNNNNNNNNNNNNNNNNNNNNNNNNNNNNNNNNNNNNNNNNNNNNNNNNNNNNNNNNCUCUUGUACCCAAAGUAAGGGACCCAACCAAAUUGGAGCAAUACAGACCUAUAUCCCUAGUAGGUUCUAUGUAUAAAAUUAUCUCAAAGGUGAUGGCAGGUAGGCUUAAGAAGGUACUCCCCGCCAUUAUUGAUGACUGUCAAUCGGCCUUUCUCAAGGAUAGAGGGAUCCUGGAUAGUGUUAUGAUGGCUAAUGAGGUGAUAGAGGAGUUAAAGAGGAGAAGGAAGCCAGGAUUGUGUUUAAAGGUGGAUUUUGAAAAGGCGUAUGACUCUGUCAGAUGGGAAUUUCUUUAUGACUUGCUGCAGAGGAUGGAUUUCCAUAGGAAGUGGAUAAUGUGGGUCCAAGGUUGUUUGGAGAGCGCAACAGUAUCCGUGCUUGUGAAUGGGAGUCCAACGGAGGAGUUCAAACCGUCAAGAGGGCUACGCCAGGGGGAUCCUCUUGCCCCAUUUCUCUUUCUUGUGGUAGCUGAAGGGCUCACAGGGCUAGUAAGGCAAGCGAUGAAGGUUAAGCUAUUCACGGGACUAAGAAUAGGAAGGAAAGAGGUGGAAUUGGGUAUUCUCCAGUUUGCUGAUGACACAUUGUUCUUAUGUUAGGACUCCUUCUCGAAUGUGGUUACCUUAAAAUCUAUCCUGAGGGGGUUUGAGCUAGCCUCAGGAUUGAAGAUCAAUUUUCACAAAUCUAAACUAGGAGGUAUGAAUGUGCAAAGAAGCAAAAUGGACUGCUAUGCAAAGACCUUAAGGUGUGACCAGAUGAGUAUACCAUUUAGCUAUUUGGGUCUUGAAGUGGGGGGUAACCCAAGGAAGAGAAAGUUUUGGGAGCCUGUUCUGAACAAACUGAAAUCCAGGCUUAGUGUGUGGAGAGGGAGAUUCCUAUCAAUGGCAGGUAGGUUAUGCUUGAUAAAAUCUGUCUUGUCUGCUAUACCAUUGUACUACCUGUCUCUCUUUAAAGCACCAGAGGAGGUCUGUAAGAGCAUUAUUAGAAUUCAAAGGAGGUUCUUGUGGGGAUGGGGUAAGGAGAAAAGGUCGAUCUCGUGGGUCAGUUGGAAGGAAGUGUGUGAAGAGCGUGAGGAAGGUGGGCUGGGUAUCAAAGAGAUCCGGAAGUUUAAUUGUGCGCUGCUGGCUAAGUGGAAAUGGCAGUGUAUAACUGAAGAGAAAGGGAGGUGGAAGGAGGUGUUGGAAUCGAAGUACGGAAUGGAGAAUAUUAGGGAGCAGACACAGGUGAAAUAUUAGUCAUGGUGGUGGAGAGAUCUGUUGAAAAUUUGUAAGGAGGGAGGAGGAGAAGGGUGGUUUCAAGGUCAGGUUGGGUGGAAACUUGGGGGGGGGGGGAGAUAAAGUCAGAUUUUGGGAGGAUGUGUGGGUGGGUAAAACAAACCUAAAAACACUCUUUCCAAGGCUAUAUAAUCUUUCUCUGGAUCAAGGUCAAAGGGUGGGGGAGGUUGGAGUGUGGGAAGGGUCGGAGUGGAGAUGGCGUUUAAGAUGGAGAAGAGAAAGGUUUGAGUGGGAAGCAUCACUAGAAUCUGAUCUUAGUUGUCACAUUGCCAAUGCUUAUGUUAUUAGGAAUGUGAACGAUGUGCAGGUUUGGAGAAGUGGCGAGUCAGGGUGCUACACAGUAAGGGCGGCGUAUGAGUGCUUAGUGGAGGCGAAAAAUACUCCUCAAGUAGAGGUGUUUAAGCUUCUAUGGAAGGUAAAGGCACUCCCUAAUGUGUUGAUCACAGCAUGGCGGGUGAAUAGGGGCAGAACACCGACAAGAGUAGCUCUAAGCAGGAGAGGGGUUCAGAUUAACAACCCUGAAUGUGUCUUGUGUAAAACUGUGGAUGAGUCAAAUCAACAUCUUUUUAUAGAAUGUAAACAUGCGUGGCGUGUAUGGACUUUAUGCUUCAAGUGGGUGGGACUUGAGUUCGUCCAACACAAUGAUGUUAAGAUCCACUUCGAGAGUUUUAAUCUGCUCCAGGUAAAUCACAAGCAAAAUUUAGUUUGGAAAGGGGUGUGGGCAGCCAUAGUAUGGAGUUUGUGGGAGCAUAGAAAUUCUGUUAUGUUCCACCAAGGAGUAGUGGACGAGGAAGAAGUGCUACACAAGGCUCAGCUUAAAUCGUGGUCGUGGUUGAAACACAAAGGCAAUAAUUUUUCAUACUCGUUAACAGAUUGGGUGCUGAAUCCAAUCCCCUGUCUUACCAGCUAUAAAUAGGAGAUGUGUAGUGGCCAGGUGCAGUUGAGUGGGGGGAAAUGGAAGGUCUGGCAGGUAGUAUUGAAGGAGUUGGUUCUGUGGUGCUUCCUGCAGGUGCAGUACGGUGUAGGGUGGGUAAGGAGGAUCUGUUAUGGCUGGUUUUGCUGCAGAAGGUUUACUGACGGAUAGUUAGAGAAGGAUUAUUUGGCGUUCUUCCUAUGUAUGUAGGUUUGAGCUCAAAUGGCUUUAGCAAAACCAAGUAUUCACUGUUGAGUGCAGAUUCAAAUCUAGCAAGGUUUGUAUGAGGUAACUUCCGCCAUGUGCUAGGCUGUGUGACUCGUCGAAGUUAUACAAGGUUAACAUGAUCGCCGGUCGAUGAAACGGCGAUCUCCAUGCGGGUGUAGUCGCCGGUCGAUGAAACGGCAAUCUCCAUGUGCGCGUAGUCGGUGGUCGUUGAAUCGAUGAACCGGCGAUCUCCAUGUGUAGUCGGUGGUCGCCGUAGGUAUGCAAAGAUCAACAUGAUCGCCGGUUGUGUGAAGUCGGAGGUUGCUGAAGUUAUAGUCAACAUGAUCGCCGGUCGAUGAACGGCGAUCUCCAUGUGUGUAGUCGGAGGUUGCUGAAGUUAUACAAGUCAAAAUGAUCGCCGGUCGAUGAACGACGAUCUCCAUGUGGGUAGUCGGUGGUCGCCGUAGGUAUGCAAAGGUCAACAUGAUCGCCGGUUGAUGAAGUGGCGUUCUGUCAACAUGAUCGCCGAUCGAUGAAACGGCACUCUCCAUAUGUGUAGUCGGUGGUCGCCGAUGUUAGUUUUUUUAGGAAGUCCACUUCUGGUUACUGUUUAUGGGUUGGGAUACCCCUGAAGUAUCCCCUUUAAUUUUAUUUAUUCAUUGCUGAUAAAAAAAAAAUUAACUUUUUUUUUUUAUCAGCAAAGAAUUAAAUAAAUUAGAGGGGACACUUCAGGGGUGUCCCAACCCUUAUACAAACCGAGCAGCAACUGAUCUAAAGAAGAACCCAUAAACCAGAAAAGAAGAAGCAAAACAGUCAUAUUAACCAGAGAAGCAUGAUUUUCCUCUGCUGGGAUCCAAAACCAUGGACCAGGCCAUUUGUCCAUCAAGCAGAAAAGGUUUUCCACUAGGUAUAGCUAUGUGAAAAAUAAUAAUA